Molecule: long non-coding RNA, 62087 nt
Filed under: Setaria viridis
Lineage: Eukaryota; Viridiplantae; Streptophyta; Magnoliopsida; Poales; Poaceae
Description: long non-coding RNA (SVIR_LNC011295)
Source: RNAcentral
UUUCUUUUUUUGUCAAUAAUUGUUACAUCCAGUAACAUCUCCCAGAUUUAUAUUGAAAUCCCUAACCCUUCUCUUCCUGCUUUUCAGGAUUCAUCUGAGAAGAUUUCCAGGAGCAGUGAAGACUCCCACAAUGGUAUUGAUACCGACUCUUCCAGCAUUAGCACUGAACCAAAAGGUAUAAUUUUGGUACAACAGAACAUCAUCAAAUGAAGUUUAAUCAAAACUAUGUGAAUCCGACAUUCAAUGCUUGCAGAAAAUGUAAAAUAUAACCUUGAUAUAUACAUAUAAAAAGUGAUGUAGAAAACAAUGAUUUGGGGCUUGUGUGCUUUAUAGGAUUAUUAGUUGGCCUUUAACUCUACUUUUUUUUUCCAUAUCUCAGUAUCUACUUUGUACUUAUUGCAAUAUUUACGCUCAUGUAUACAACGGUACUAUACAUUUCACUACAAAUAAGUUCGGCAAAUCAGUAAAUUUGAAACGAAUGUCUGUAUCUUUACCUAGGAUAUAAUGAUCAUUAGGCAUAAGUGGCCGUUCACGUUAACUUUUAUUCCACUUCAUUUUGCCUCUUAUGAUAUACUGAGCCUUCACCUUGGCGUGUGUGCUGAAGCGAAAUUUGGCUCUAUAUGCAGCUCUCCCCCCUCCGAAAAUUGAACAACCAGUUCUCCCCCCUCCAAAAGUUGAACAACCAAAACCAGAAGUGAAGCCAGUACCAGUUCCAGUUCAACAAAAAGUAUGUAUGCCUCUCAGCUUGUUUUUUUUUUCUCAAAUAAUUUUUGAAUCUUAAAUUCAUUUUAUUAUCAAUCUGUAAUUCUGUACACUUGCUUCCUCUAACCUUAGUGUGAAUGAGAAGCGUAUUGAUACAUUCUUUUGUUUAAACAUAUGUUGCUUCCAGGGUGACGAUAGGUGGAUUAGGCCUCCCAGAGUUCAAAAUGCUGAUGAAGUGGAAAAGGCUAAGGCUUGUCAACUUGAAUUUGGGAGUUACUGUCUCUGGUCCAUAGAGCACAAAGAAGUUAUGAGGGAUACCAUCGUGAAAAGGCUGAAAGAUCAGCUAUUUGUAGCUCGAUCAUACUACCCAAGCAUUGCGAAACUUAAAGGAAAGGAGGCACUGACUCGUGAAUUGAAGCAAAAUAUUCAAGAACAUGAGAGGGUUCUCAGUGAAUCCAUUGUUGAUGCUGAUCUACCAUCCUUGUGAGUAUUUAGCAUGUGUGAAUGUCGUCUCACGUCUUUAAUGCAUUUCACGGUUGAUCUUGUCAAUUGCAACUGUUAUCAUUUGCUUAGCCAUGCAUUACAUAUUUUGAUCAUGUAUUCCAGUACUCUACUUUCAGAUGUUCUUUUAACUGUACAUGUUUUGUGAGUGUAAUUUUAAAAUACACACCCUUAAGCCUUGUUCGGUUUGGUGGGAAUUGAGGAGGAUUGGAGUGGAUUGAGAGGGAUUAAGUCUCCCUUUCUCUCCCCUCUGAAUCCUGUUAAAAAGACCUUUAAAAGAUGUGAAAUUUUCCCAUCACGGAGCUGUUCUGAUUUUUGACAUCUGGGUAAUUCUUGACAUAUUCUUUUCAGUAUAAAAAAGAAGAUAGAGAUAAUGGACCAAUCAAUAGCAAGAGCCAAAUCGUGCACUGUGGAUUGUAACAAUGUCGACAGAAAGCUUCGUCAAAUUCUUCAUAUGACAGAGGAUGAAGCUCAUUUUCAUAUGAAGCAGAGCGCAUACCUGUACAACCUUGGUGUUCACACCAUGCCCAAAAGUCAUCAUUGCCUUAAUAUGAGGUUGACAGUAGAAUAUUUUAAAUCCACACCAUUGGAUCCAGAUGACUCUCCUGCCCAUAAGUUCAACAUUCCAGACCACAGGCACUAUGUUAUAUUAUCUAAAAAUGUUCUUGCAGCUUCUGUUGUCAUCAACUCAACUGUUAGUAGCUGUGAGGUACAUAGAAAGUUUAUUCUUUAUCUUUUUAAACUGUUCAGUGCAUCUUCUGGGUUCGGCAUUGCUGACAUCCCUUUUACCCUUUGCAGGAUACUGAAAAUGUAGUCUUUCAUGUACUAACCGAUGCUCAAAAUUUCUAUGCCAUGAAGCACUGGUUUGCAAGAAAUUCCUACAGGGAAUCAGCUGUCGAUGUCAUAAACUAUGAACAAAUUAUUUUCGAGAAUUUCCCUGAGUUCGGAACCCAGCCAUUGUAUUUGCCUGAGGAAUUUCGUGUCUUCAUCAGUAGCCUUGAGCGGCCUACUGAAAAGAGCAGAAUGGAGUAUUUAUCAGUGUUCAGUCAUUCACAUUUCUUUAUUGCGGAAAUAUUCAAAGAUUUAAAGAAGGUAAUUAUAUUGGAUGAUGAUGUGGUUGUUCAACGUGAUCUCUCUUUCUUGUGGAAUCUUGAUAUGGGAGACAAGGUCAAUGGUGCUGUCAGAUUUUGUGGUUUGAAACUUGGCCAAUUGAGGAACCUUCUGGGUAGGACAAUGUAUGAUCCACAGUCAUGUGCAUGGAUGUCUGGGGUGAACAUCAUCGAUUUGGACAAAUGGAGAGAGCAUAAUGUUACCGAGAAUUACCUGCAACUCCUGAGAAAGGUUGGUGUCUUUCUAAUCCAAUCCUUGUUUAAAUUCUAGUUGCUUUAUUCAAUAAUUUUAGCUAGCAUGUGUUCUUAGUACCAUGAAGUCAUGACUUAUCGGCUAUCUAUGAAACUGGAUUGAUUCAUAAUUAAUUUCGGUAUCAGCUUCUGGAAAAUAUGACUUUUCCUCACCAAAUCAUAUAAACUUAUCAGCUAAUACCUUUUUUUUCACUCUUAUGUUAUAGUUUGGAAACCAUGAUGACGAGGCCUCACUGCGGGCUGCAGCUUUGCCUAUUAGUUUAUUGUCCUUCCAGCAUCUUCUAUAUCCACUUGAUGAGAGAUUCACCUUAUCUGGACUCGGGUAUGACUAUGGUAUUAAAGAGGAAGUUGCCCAGAGUUCCAUAUCGUUGCAUUACAACGGAAAUAUGAAACCUUGGCUUGAGUUGGGUAUACCAGAUUAUAGGAAGUACUGGAAGAGGUUUCUUACACGAGAUGAGAGAUUCAUGGAUGAGUGCAAUGUAAGUCCAUAGUGCACUUGAACUUGGGAGACGGAACGUUUUUGACAGUAGAUUUUCAGUCUACCUGUACUAUAGACUAAGAGGACGAACACUUCCAUUGAGAAAAGACCUGGGAAGCAGUCACUAGCCAUCAAUUUUGACAGAGUAGAUCCAGCACCAUCUGUUCAUUGAAUUAGUGAGCUCGAUGGAUGGUUUUUUCUGCAGUUAGAGGAGUUAGUCUUAAGUUUGAAGGAUAAUGCAGUAGACAAGACGACGGCAGAUGUGUGGUGGUUCGGCUCCAGGUAAGGAGCAUCACACUCAGCAUCUAGAUUACGAGACAGGAAUGAUCGAUGGGGGAUUGAGGCGCCUUAAUUGAAAUUGGUGCCUUCCGCCUCAUUGAUGAAGGUUAAUUCUUUUCUUUGUUGAUUUUUUUGACCCCUCCAUGCUCUGUCCUUCUGUCAAUAAGGACAUACACAAGUUAAGAUUCAAAUUCUUUGUUCUUAGUUGUUGCACAUUGAUUGUUCUACCAUUAUUAUGUUGAUGCAAAGUAUAUUAUGAUGUCAGAGACUCAUCAGUUACAAAAACGAGAUUGACAGUUCUGUUUGGGUGUCUUCUGAGCACUCGCUCAUUUUCUCAUGCCCCCAGCAGAUUUUGUAUUCCUCUUCAUUUGUUGUGAUGAGUUCGCAAUUCGGUGUAACGGUUCACCUCUGAUUUCCUUUAUGUGGUCCAACGGGUCAUAUAAAGCGUUAACGAAUGCUAAACGUCGGUGAGAGCACACUACGGGGCGAGUUUCUUUCUUUAUUCCUUUCGUUUUUUUUUUUUUUGGAGAACUACAGGGCGAGAGUUGAUACUCGCUGGGAGUCCACUGUAACUCCGCUCCUAAACCAUGGUGCAAUGUGAUCGUGUAAAGCUACAAAGCAAGCGAACUGCAAAAAAGCAUCAAUGAGCUCGAUGCUCGAAGAAGCUGAUGUAGUCCGCAUGCGAGUCCACCGAACUCUUUUAAGUGGAGUGCAUUAAACAGGACUAUAGGACCUGUAUUCCUUGCUGUCAUGUCACUCAUGCGAGGUACCGUCUCUAUUUUCAACUUAUUAGGAUUCGUGGUUUUAUUGUAAUCUCUAUACUAUUGCGCAAAUACAUGACAUAAGCCUAGGAGGCAAUGAUAGUAUCUCAAUUUAUUAGAAUUCUUAACCAAUUAAUAGUAUAAUAAAUCAUGAAAUUAUUAAUUAAUUAUCAGCACUAAGUCACCCUUCACUAUCAAUGUGCAAGUUUAUGAGUUUAGGUAUAUUUUACCCACAAGCAUGUGGGUAUGGGUAGUAUGUUCCUGCACCCGCUUACUCGAUGGGUAGAUGACAUUGCCCAUUAGCAAGGGUAAAGAUACGUUUCCAUACCCGCCUUCUUAUCGGGUAAAACUCCUCGGUUUCCCAUUGCUAUCUCUAUGCAUGGAAGAUCUACAUAAUUUUUCAAUGGCUGAUAGGCAUGGAGAGAAUUAUCUCUAUUAUCUAUGAACGUGUUCUAAAACAAAUUGUAUCUGACAAGAAGAUAGUUGGUAUACACAUUAUAAAUUUUGGUUAUACGGUUUUUGGGUGGUGUGUGUGUGGGGGGGGGGCAUAUGCCCUAACCUUGCAAAUUUGCGCAUAAAUCUAUUCUUAUAGUGUUUGAGGUACAAUGACAUGGUGUAAUAAAAUAAGUCAAACGCUACAUUUUUCUCACAUUUAGGUUGCACGAAAGAUCUUAAGCAUAGUUUGGUGACACAUUGCACUAUGUAGUAAAUUCGGAAUUAGCUAGCAAUAUAAAAUACAAAAGCAAUUUAUUUCAAAUAAUAUUUAAUAUAAAAGCAUGCUAGGCUGGUAUUACAAUGCAUUCGCAAGCCAGGUAUUUGAUAGUCCUACCAUGAGAUUAUUAUUAUGGUAAAUCGACUAAUUUGUUGGAUUCGGUAAAGUUUACUUGUACGUAUUUCCAUACAAACUCUUCGUACAAGCAAGUUUGAGAUGUUUAUUAAAACUUGAGACAAUCUUAUUUACAUAAUUUCAUCAAAUUAAACCCAAAAAUUAAAUUUUCAUUGACUAUAAAUCCAACAUUGUGGUUAGAAUACUAAUGGUUGAAUGCCAUGUUAGUAGGUUCAAAAUGAAGAGCCGAGAAAAGAUUAUAAUGAACUAUAUUGACCCCAUAUUAUAAACUAAGAGGUAUACAGAUGGAUCAUAUGGACUAAGUCUACUUUAGAACAUCCUUCAUCGCAUCAUGUGAAUCCUUCAAAUGCUAUAUUUUUCAAUAUAUUUUUUUUAUUCUAGAUCUAGUUAAUUCGCUCCCACAAAAAGUCGAACCUAGACCUAUUGGAUGCUACUCAGGUGCUCUAACCACUAGACUAGAGACCCUUUCACAUUCAAAUGCUACAUUAUCAUAUCUUAUUCUUGAAAUAAUACUUUAUAUAUUAUGUAAUGUCUUUAAAAGGAACAAGAUACUUCAUCUAGCCCUACGAAAUGUCAUUGUAGCCUUACUCAAUGGUUGGUAAAACCCGUGUUUGGGAUUUUAGGUGGAGUUUGGACUAUUUUGCCGCUUGAUUAAUAUGCAUGCAGUUCAAAUCCCAAAGCAGUAAUAAUUGGCAUGCAUCCUUUGUUUGUCUCAUCUCACGCCUCUCUUCAGUGAACAAAUGUUAGACGAGUUUGCCAAAACAAACUUCUCACUGAUGUUGCAUGCAUUUCGUGUCUAGCACGUAAUGAAGGAAAACUCUAAUACACGGCCAAAAAAAAAUACAAGACUUAUGAAUCAUGGCUAGGAUUUGACCUUGAAAGCUCAAAUUCCUAACUUAAAAGUUAGGGAACUAACCAUCCUAAACUAUUGUAUUUCAUGACAAGGAUAGAGCUCCCAUGCAUCUAAUAAGGAUAGAAAGAAUAUUAUAAUAAUUCAUUAAUAGGAGAUAUAAAAUAUAGGUAGUCAAAUAUGACAUAGUAAGUUUAUUUGUGUUUUAAUCAACCAACUAGGAUUUGGGCUAUCUUUCAUAACAAUAGUUUUCUUUGAUUUUAGUUGUACAAUUUACUUGUCAUUAUACAUAAGAGUUUAUUUUUCGAAUAAUGUACUAAUAAGUUUAAUUGGUCUAAAACUAAUAUUUGUCAAGUUAGGUAUACACUAUAAGAAAGGGAAAACAACAAUUUCCAUAUGGAUGUAUACCUCUAACAUUGUAGGGUGAUUUUCACACAUAAUGAAGUGAACAUUGAUAUCACUAUCUUAGAUUGCAAGGGGCAUAUGCCCCCUUGCCACUGUUGCAAUUAAUACGGGUAUGGUAAUGAGGGAUAUGGAUACCCAUAGGUCCCUACCGACCAGGAUACUUGCCGAACCUGAUAAGUGGGCCCGCUCGACCAGGACGUGCGGGCCGAGGACAUGAAUAUACUUGGAGUACACGCCAAGGCAAUUAGACAGUUCAAAUCUACCCGGAUAUAGUGGAACACGUAUUGUGGUCCGACUCAGAUUACCUUCCAUGUAACUACCGAGUAGAUUAGAUUCAAACCGACUUAUAACUCUAGGUCGUCAGCCUAUAUAAGGCAGCCAAGGGCACCCCCGAGGGUAACCCGAGCAAUCAAACCUCAUACCAGCAAUACAAUCCACGCACACAGGACAUAGGGUAUUACUCUCCGGAGGCCCGAACUUGUCUAAAACCCUCAUGUCCCCUUUGUGUUCUCGCGAUCACCUUCGAGUUCUUGGUUUCAAUCGCCCUCAUCUACAAAUCAACCACUUGGCUAACCCCUGGUGGACUGCCGGGCUAGUAAAUCCAACAGGUAACACUUGGUGACAUCUUAUACUAAACCAUGCAAAUUUGUUGAUAAGAAGACCACCACCUGACAUGCCCAUGUGAUCGACUCUAGAGUUAGGAGUAGUGGAUGGUGAUAAGUAUCCAAUGAAAUAUUUAACAUGGUUGAUGUCAACUUACACAGAGAAACAACGUGGAACUUGUCUUGGUAAGAUGAUGUCAUCCAUAGAUGUAAAUAACCUAUUUCCUUCUAUUGUCUUAACCAUAACGAUCUGGGCCAUUUUAUCUAUGGUUGCUACAGAGCUGAUGUGUUGGUCAUGAACUGAAAUAAGCUAGCGAGAGCUAGGUUCCCUUUAAUUUGAGUUUGAGGAAAGGUAAGUAACAGAUCCAAACUUGAACAUUUAUGGAUGCAAUAUAGGAAACACCUUUGCUACAAUUCUAGAGUGUCUUAUUAGGAACAACAUAAAGUCUAACUUACUUAUUCAUGCUUAUUUGUUGGACUCAAGCUUUAUGCCCCCCCUUUAUUUGGUGAUUGCAUUACCUUGUUUUAGAGUCACAUUAGCCACAACCCUAAUGAGAAGAUGAUGUGUGAAUCGGAUAAUCUUGCUUAAGUCAACUUGUUUGCGCCUCUCCAAUGCAAAUCGAUCUAGUCAAAGCCAGUUAGACUCCAGUGGUAAUGUGUCAAUGCAUGGUGGAAUUAUUGAAGGCGAUGUUGUGCUGAUGCUAUCCCCGCUACAUGUGGAUUCCAAUGAAAAAGGAAUCCAUUCAUUUUGUUUGACUGAUAAGGCAUUAGGAGUGCUGAUAAGAGAUCUCUCGAGCUGUUUGCAGCGAGAGAAUACAUCUUGUUGAUGCUAAGGCUAGUCCCAGUGCAAGGUUUCAUUGCACUAUUUCCAAGGAUGCCACAUCAUCCCAUGAGGUGUAUUCUCAUGAAUAAAACAGGGAGUCCCAGUGCACAGUUUUAUCUCACGAUUUCAUAGGAUGCCCAUAACAUUUAAUUGUGAGGCAUGUGAUUGGCUAUGGUUAGAUGAAAUGAAACUCUAUAGCCCCCAAUGCAAGUUUCAAUAGGUUUCAUAUUCUUGGAAACAGUGUAUACACAGUUUCAUCCUGAUGAAACUCCUUCCCUCUCUCACUUCAUAACUACCAUGCCAUGUCAUCACAUAUGCUGAUGUGUCACCGUAUUUAAUGUGCAUGAAACCUCUAUGAAACUCCCACUGGGAUUAGCCUAACAGCAGCCGCAGCAUAUAAUCCAGGGGUGGUGCUAGGGAAUGACACGUGGUACAGUUGCAAAACUUUUGGUUCCUCUUAAAUGUAGAGCCACACAAUCCUAUCUAAAAUGUGGAUCCCAUAGAUAAUAAAAAAUUCCUCAAAUAACUUUCAUCUUUCUCCUUUCUCUCACUGACUUUCAUACCCCACCACCCACUAAUUUGUAGCACUUGGUGCAAAGUGUAGCAUCCUAGCUAAGGGGUUGCUCGGGAGCACCCUCCUCCUCAGCGUGAAGUGUCCUAGGAAUCUUUUUAUCUCCCCUCAGAGCACCCUUUGAGUUAGACUCAAAGAGUUGUUCUCACUUGUCUUUCUAAUCAUCCGCCGGUGGGAUAUAGGUAUUCCUAAUAUCAAAUUAAAUGAGGCCAAUUCUGACUGUCAAACUACACAAGUUCUUUAGGGAAAAUGGGUACAAGAUGAGCUGAUAGUAGCAGACCCAACAUAUAAUGAAUGUUGCUUGUGGAUAAAGAAACUCUUUUGGGUUUUUUUUUGGAAAAAUAAACUCUUUUGUGAUCGGCGAGGAAGUGUAACACACGACCCAUACCACCGAGGUCGUGCAUUGGGCCGAGCCCAUAAUCCUACAAAUGCUCCGCAAAGGACUAAUGUAUUCCCCAUGGCCAAUUGACUUCUACAUAGCACAACAUUUCAACGCUUACCUAUUUCUGCUCCCAGAAUAAAUUUGAGUUUGCAACAUCGAACAACGUUCGUGCAUUUUAAUAUUUGGUUCCUAUGCCGCUAGGGCAAAACACGAUUAGUUCGUGUUCUACCUCGGUGACCACCUCACCGCCGACCAAAUAAAACCUCUCACAACCCACCCAAACAAAAACAAAAGAAACAGGAAACAUGCAUGCCGAAAGAUAACAUCGCCAGAUCCUUUUGUCCCCCAUAAUUUCGGGGAUAACUCUUAUUGCUAAUGCUAUACACACGGCUACCAGAAGGUUCACAUUUUUCUCCUUGCCUAGGUUCCAUAGCUAAGGAUGGUCCAACUCAAUAGACUUACGCAUCAUUAGUAAUAUCCAACACACGGACGGUACCAAUUUUGACCAAGCAAGAGUGUUGAACAGCUAUAAUCUGAAUACUGCAGCUGAUGUCUUAACUAUCUUGCAGUUUGCGACGCUUCUCUAGGGAGAUCUUAGGUCCACCAUCUGCAGCUGCUUCGGGAUCAGAGUCGAUUUCAGAAAUUUUCUGUUUGACACCUAAUUUGGUCGACCGUUCUCCCAGUUCAGCAGUUCCAGGCCUGUCUCCUAUUCUGUUUCGGUCCAUGGCUGCACUACUAUCCUUGUUUGCAGAGUGGCUCGGAUCAGAUGAUGGAUUUGCUGAUGUAUCACCUGAGGAUGGAUCCUGGACCACCUCCGUGGUGGAUUUACACUGCUUUUCAAACAUCAUCUGCAAAUACUUUCCUUGUUCUUCAAUCCGCAACUGCAAUUUUCUCUGAAUCUGCAACAGGAAUAUGUGGUGUUAGGAUUUAGUGAAUUUCAUUCACAUUAAUGUUGAGCACAUACUCCAUCAUGUUAACAGCAAAGCAAGUAUGGGGGCUCGAAUAAUCCCAUGCAGUUACAGCUGCAACUCCCAGUAUGCAACAAAGAGCACAUGCAUGUUCCAAUUUUUUUUAAACUCCAAGAGUGUAAAAAGUGUGGCAUGCCAUGCUUUCAAGGGCAGCAUUUGGCGUAAAACCAAUGGUCGACUAUAUUUAUAACGAGUACCUCAAGCUGUUCAUGAAGACGCUUCUGGACUUCCAUCUGAAGGCGCAGCGCUUCAGUAAGAUCCAUGCUCCUAUAUAAGAAAACCAGCAUCAUGCAAGAAUAUUAAUCAUGAAGUGAUCCACAAAGAAAGAUGAUGCACUCUCAUAUAGUAAAACCUCAAAAUUAGAAUUUAUGCUUCAAAAGAAGUGAACGCACAAUGGACUCAAUAUGCAUAAUGACAAUUCCAGCACAAGGAGUUGGCAGUAUAUUUAGAGUAUGAUCUACACUCUUGAGUAUUAACAACCCUUUUUCUUAUCGAUUGUUAGGUAUGACAGAUCAUGAUUGUAAUAGUACUCUAUCCAUCCCAAAUUGUAGGUCGUUUUGGCUUUUCUUAAGUAGAGAUUUUGCUAUGAAUGUAGAUGUACGCUAUGUCUAGGUACAUAGUAAAAACUAUGUACAUACAAAAGCAAAAGACCUAUAAUUUGGACUGAGAGAGUAUUUCUUUUGGGUACACACAUAAGCAAGGUUUCCAGAAUAGAUUUGAAACAGCUCGUAGGCAAUUCUAGCCCUCAGAGUCCUUUACUGCAUGGGACAGUACGCAAAUUAAUGGAUGCAAAUGUUAUGGAUCCAUUCUGGUGGCAGUAAAACUUGAAUGCCCAGACACACUUAAUUAUCAUUAUGGACAAAGGGCAAAAGCAAAUUCCACAAAUAACAAUUGUCCAAUUACACAUGUAUAAAUUGGCCAGUUGAUCUAAACAGUGCUAUUGGCAAAGGAUACUUUUUAAUACUCUGCUAUCUGUUAAUGUACAUAGAACAAUCUUUUAUAUUCCAUAUUUCAGUGCUUCUUUACUUAGUGACAAUCCUUUAGAUUCCACAGUAAAAAAUGCCUAUAAGUGAAUCCCAAACAUAUAGACAAAAUCUUUUUCUAAGGCAAUUGUGAUUGUUAGUCAACACGACAAACUAUGGUCCCAAUUGUGAAUAAACUCCUGAUCUCAGCUUUGAUGCAUGUUGAAUCACAGUAACAUAAUACCAGUUAACACCAAAGGAGACAAAUAGUGCACCAUACAGUGAAAACAAGGGGAUAUAGCGUUAGUAUCGUUAUUCACUGACGUUUUCAGGUCCAGGGACAGCUCUUCAGUGGUGGUCCUUUUUUCAGAUGUACCUGCAUAACGAGUUAUGGAAAUGUUACAUUAAUGAUAAUAAUUCACACUGAUUUUAAUACAGUUACAUGUAUGCCUGCUAUUUGCAACAUAGUUCCUCACGACAUGGUUAUCAUGCCACAAAAAAGAUGAAUGUUUCACAGCCCCUAAGACAUCACCAUGCGUCGUGUGAAUGUACUCAACAACACAAAGGCAAUUGGGAAGAGUCCAAGUGAGAUAAACCUUCAGACAGGUCAGGUUUAUAGCGGGCCGUGCGGUACUUCUGCAACACAAAGCAGUUAGAGUUAAAAAAAAGUGAGAAUGUUUCCUUUGGGCAAGGAUACUACUGAUAAAGCUAAAUAGCAAACCUGCAGAUGACUUUUGACAUGAUAUAUUGUCAAACCAUCAACUUUCAUAAGCUUGAGCACACCCUUAGGAGUAGCUUCUGAAUAGGCAUAAGACAAGAUAAAUAAACACAUGCACUAAAUGAUGUAAUAUAGGGCUUAUAACUUAAUCAUUUGAGGGAAUUUGGCAGCGGAACAGACAUACUUUCGCUACCGCCAAGCUGAUUUACAGCAUCUACAAAACAUUCAUGAAGUUCUGGGGUCCAUCUCAUCCGUUGUUUAGCUGCAGAAGCAUUACUGCUAUUGGGAGGACUAGCAACAGGACAAAUCUCCCCACUAUGAGAUGAAGCUGACUGGUUCACUGCAAGCAGUGAUGCAAUUGAGUUGGAAGGUUGCAUCAUGGCCUAUAAAAUAAGGAAAAAUAACGAUGAAAGAAACAUAAGUCAUUAGGACAAGUGUCACAUAUAUGGGUCUACAACCAUCUUAAAAGAACCUGGACCAUGAAAGUCUAUUUUGUACCAAAGAGGAGAUGCAACAACAUCAAUUUGAACUUCCAGCAGUACAUUUAGCAUUAAUAACACAAACAGUCCUUACGGUUCUAAAAUGGUUACACAAGUGGUUAAUCUGUAAAGAUUCUAACAUGGUAGCUCAAGUAGUCAAUCUAACAUGUAUAGCACUAUACAAAACAAGAUACAGGGAAUCAUUCUGUUCUCUUUACCAUCACUUCAACAAGAUACCAUAACAAUUAUAAACUGAAGAGUUAGACCUAAUUACUAGCACAACCUUAAGUUCUCAACUUCUCAUAAGGAAAGGGCAAGGGAACCCCCAUUAACUGAUGCAUGUCACAGCAGUAUCUACAAUGUGAAAACAAUCAUUAAAAUACAUAAUACAUUCACACAGACAUUUGCUGCCAGAAGGACUUAAUAUGUUAUAGUAAAGAUAGAGUAUUUCUAAACUACCAGAACAGAAGAUGGAGCUACAACUUCACUCAUUAUGGUAUUGAAAUUUGCGUACCUUUGACUGGGAAUCAGUAGCAGUUGCAUCUAAAAUAUCUUUCCAAUCAUCAUUCAUUAUCUCUGCCCACCAAUCAUUUUGUUUAGCAACCUCGUCAGAUGUCAUAGCAGAACUGCCACUCUGGAUCUGAUUAUCAGAAGCAGCAAUAUUAUCUGUGUAAACUGGUAAAACAUCCAUAGAAGAUGGGAACCAGGUUGCUUCAGCAUGGGCUCCUGGGGUAUUAUCAGAUAGAGACUGGAAAACGUCAACAUUGGAUGGCUGACAAAUAAAGGGAGAAACCAUAGACUGCGCCUCAUGGUUAGAAACAGAAUCAAGUGGAUUAGCAGAGUAGCCUGAAUAUGAUGCUCCGAUAACACCAGUUCUGGGUUGCAAAGUAUCAGAUUGAGGUGUGCCAUUAUGCAAGGGCAUAGAAUCAUCAGGCAACUGCCUUGACAUUGGAAUGUGCUGGGGGGUACAAGGCCUUGGGAAGCUCUCUUUCAAAGAAUUUGGCAAAAUAGGUAAAGAGGAUGACAUUGCUCCCAAAACUCUGCUGUUCUGAGACUGCCUUAGAUUAAAAUUCCUCAUUUAGAACAGUGCACAAACUUUGUUUCUUUCCCAUAAGCUGCUUUUGGUAACUUUCACCUCACUAAAAGCAUUAGUCCAUUACUCUGCAGGCAGAAAAAAAGAGAAGUUAAAUUAAAUAAGGGUAAAAUAGUGAGAGGUCAUGUGAAAAUAAGGUAAUAGCAACAAACAUAGCUUAGGGUGCGUUUGGCAGAGCUCCCAGAGCUGAUUCUCUAGCUGAAUCCAGCAGGAGCUCUGCCAAACAGUUUUUCAGAGAGAAGUGAUUCUCUGCUGAUUCCGUGAAGUGAUUCUCUGAAAUGAACUACGAGGCUGGGAGCUGAAAAAAGUAGCUUCCCCUGAUUCUGUGAAGUAAUUCUCUAUCCUGAUUUUAAGUGUUUAUGCUAGAGAAUCAAAGAGAAUCACUUUCAGCCACAUAAUCACUUCUCUCAGAGAAUCAACUCCCAUAGAGAAUCAGAAUUAGAUGGAGCUCUACCAAACAGGCCCUUAUAAUCCGCAAUUGAACUAGUGAGUAGUGACAUGUGGGUCAAAUAUCCAGAUAACAAGAAACGGUACAAUUAUGAAUUGAAUUAGCAACAGUCACAAAGUUGCAAGCUCUUUCACAUGGGUAGUCAGCAAUAUACAAUAGAUCACUCCUUCAGCUCUCCUUUUCAGUUUUUCUUUAAACAAAAUAAAAUAUGAAAAUUGCCCACUCUGAUGUAAAUGGUAGAAUACCAUAAAAUCGAAUGGAAUGGAAUUGAGAAAAGUAGAAAACCAUGGCAUUGGUGAUUGGUCACAUGCAAGGCAUAAUUUGAUCAAUGCAGAUUCAACAGCAUUUCAAUACUUUCUUCAAAGCUAGAAACUAUCAUCUUUUUUCACAUGGCACACCCACAUGCACAAUCCUACUGUGAUCAUGAUGCCAUAAUGGUGUACUGACGUUGUCGCACCAAACCCAACUCUCUUCCUACUAACAAGGCAAAGAAGGCAAUAACAUAACUUUUUUUUCCAUCCAAUUCUUAUCCUCACAAUCCCAAAUUAAGGAGAAGGAUGUUAUUUAAUACUAUUAUAGUAUUAUGUACAGACAAUCUGUAAGACAUUAGUAAUACAGAGCAAGGAAUGAAAUUCCAAUAUGCAUGUGCAAUCACUUCACAGGACUAGCACAUCUUGAGCUCUACAAGGGCAUGAUUGCUGGAUUAAGACUAAAUCCUUGGGGGCAAGCAAGUUGUUCCAAGGGGGUAGGACACGAUAUGGCGGAUGAUUGCAGCAGCUAUCACAGUGCCUACCUAAUAAUUGCGCUGAAAUGACGCCCCCCAGCGUAAUCCUACCCCACCAGGUCUUACUCACAUCGUUUUCUGUACGGCAAUCACGCAUUCACACUAUCACAAUCCACGAGCACGUGCACCAAAGCUGCUCCCCACCAAACUCGCACGCACGGAGCUUAAGCCCCGCGUCCCCUAUCGCGAUCAAAAACCCUAAGUAACCCCUCCGGCCUCCAGUCAUGUUCCAUCCGGCCGGCCGGAGUCCCGCGAAUCCGGUCGGAAUCGCGCCGGCGAGCCCGAUCGCGCCGGACACGGGCUUGGCUGCGUCGGGCGAUCGAGACGGCGCAGGCUGCACUGGACUGGACGGGGAGAGACGAGCGAAUCGGAGGGGUUGGGGAUAGGGCUCGUGCGGCGCGUACCUGGGGAGGAGGCGCGGAGCCCGGCAGGCCGCGGCGCGAUCGGCGGCGCGAUGCUAGGGCCGGCUGGCUUUCCGUUGGGGGAGGAGAGGGGCGCGUGGGAUGGGGGAAAAAUCUGGGUGGGGGGCGAUCGCCUUUUGCCGUCGAUCGCGGUGGGGGAGGAGAGAGAAGCUGCGGGGAGUGGGGGGAGGCGAGAACCUGGUGCGCAAAGAGGACGACGACGCCCACCAGUUGCUCGGCUCAAGGGGAGGCGCACCCAGCCCAGCCAGGACCAUGGUGGGGUGGAGUUUUUUUUAUAGGCCAUGUAGUCUCGCCGUAGAUGUACAGGGUAUCGUCAUCUCAAGACGACUUAACAGUCAAUCCAUAUAAUAGAUUGUUUUAUAAAUUAUUUGAUAAAACUAUAUAAUUCCUUAAUUUGUGUAUAUGAAAAAGAAAAAUAUUAUAAGUUGCAUAGCAACAAUAACUCGUACAAUGGUUGUUGAGUUGUCUCGUAAUCCUACAAUUUAGCUCAUGAGUCAAUUGUUUCGCGAAACAACAAUCUCUUUCUCUCUCCUCGCUCUCUCUCCUCCACGUCAUCAAAAAUUCUACGUGGCACUGCAUGAGACAACCUAUGAGACUGCUGACGUGUGGCAAUGUACUUGCUCUUAUGUGAAGAUACAUUCAGCUAUAUAUGGAAAAAAUAAUCCAUAUUUGUACCAAAUACUUGUUCUUCGACGAAUGACGAACGAGUACCGAGGAGUUGAAAAAAACUUAAAUCCCUGCGCUAAGUAAAGGUAGCCAUGGUUUCCGUCUUAUAAUUGGCUUCUCUAUAUGCAAAGGCAAUUUAGUUGUUUGCAAACUUUCUUGUUUUAACAAACAUUUUUAUGGUAUCUUACAAAUAUUUAUAGCAAUAUAAUAAAUAUACGAUAGCUAUCUUAUUAACCUAUAAAAAAAUUAUAGCGCAUGCACGAUACAAAGAAAUCAAUUUGGAAAUACAUGAAAUGAAUAGAGAGGACUACUUAUGUUUCCACCAUUAUAAUAAAAUCGAAGUUAACAAAAAGUUGGCAUGUAAAAUCUCGCAUAUUCCAUGAAUAGCCUAUGAAAAAUACAAUUAUCCAUUUUUGUCAGUUUUAUAACAUAAGGUUUUAUGAAUUUUAGACAAUCAAUGCACAAAUUAAAUUGACAUAGAAAAUAAUUUAUCCAAAGAAAAAACAAAAGUUCAACUAAAAUAUUUUAGCUAGUAAACUUGACAUAAAAAAUAAUUUUAAAUAAUUUAAUAUAGAAGUUAUCCAAUCUUGAAGCACAAAUAACUUUGAGUAAUGAAAUUGAAUAGCAACAUGAGUAUAUCAUAAAUACACGCAACCUCCGAUUAUAAAUAGAUGACAUCUUAGCUAAGAAAAGCAAGUCAACUUAGUUAAUUUUAUUUAGUUAUAUUGGCAGCAUGCUACUGCGUUUUUCGAAACACUACACUUUUCUUGCAUGCGGUAAGCCGAUAACACACUCUAUUCUUUUACGAGUUGAAUGUACAAGUCUCAAUGAUUAUCUCUAUGUAUGUAGUGAUAUGAAAAGCUGGUGAUUCUCUGACAUUGCAAAUAUAUUCCACAACAACUAAACACUAAGAGUGAUACGUAGAUGCUAGUAUUUUCCAGAGUGGCAUUACACAUUUGAAUAAUUGGUAUAGUCAUAUCAAUUUAGUAAUUGGUAUAAACAUUCCACGCCGGAACAAUGGAUAGACAUAUUAAUAUUUUUUAUUUUAUUCAGAAAAUUGUCUAUUGUCUCUGAUGUCCAUAUUAUCAUAAUUACUCUAAUAUUCAUUUUACCAUCAUCUUUCAGAAAUCGGUCAAUAUCAAAUUUCUUCUCAUAUUCUUUACUUGUUCAACGCGAUAUCUACCAAUAUAUACAAUUGAAGAGCCUAAGAUUUAUAGACAGGUAGACUAUAUAAUUUUUUUUCAAAAGAAUUUGAAGUUUAAAUUUCUUUUUAAGCAGUCUUCCAAAGUCUCACUUGCAGAUGGUUUUGCCAACAUGGUUCGACUCGACGGCCAAACUAGAGCUAAGGAGAAAAAAACACCCGGACCAAACCAAUUCCGAGAUCCACAGAGACCAGAGAAGGUUGCCAAUGGCGAAGCCGAAGAAACCCCGCGCGUCCGCCCCAGAUCCGCCCGCAGCUGCUGCCCGCCUCCCAUGGCACCCCCCAGCGCCGCCGGUCCCCACGGCCCUCCUCAUCUCCCUCGCCGCCCUCCUCGUCCGCGUGCUCGUCUCCAUGGGCCCCUACUCUGGCCAGGGCGCAGCGCCCAAGUUCGGCGACUACGAGGCGCAGCGGCACUGGAUGGAGCUCACCCUCCACCUCCCGCCCUCCGACUGGUACCGCAACACCUCCGACAACGACCUUGCCUACUGGGGCCUCGACUACCCGCCCCUCUCUGCCUACCAGAGCCUCCUCCACGGCCGAAUCAUCAACGCCUCACUGCCCGACGCCGUCGCGCUCCGCUCCUCCCGCGGCUACGAGUCCCCGGAAUCGUACGCAUCCGCUUCAGUAGAUUGUUUGCUGCUUCUUGCGUGCAGAACCUUGUGUUGUUAGCACCUGCUGUUCUUUUGGUUACAAUAGGAAGUUGCUGAUGCGGUGGACGGUGCUGUCGUCGGAUCUUCUGGUGUUCUUUCCCGCAGCAUUGUGGUUCGUGUGGGCGUACAUCAAAGGUGGAAUUGGUACUAGCGGGGAGGAGAAGCGGGAAGGGUGGUUGUGGCUGCUGGCCAUGGUCCUGAUCAGCCCCUGUUUGGUAUUGAUCGAUCACGGCCAUUUUCAGGUGAGUUGUUGUUGUACUAAUGAUCUGUGUGAUUGAGGUGGGCAGUGGCGUAGACUGUUUUCCAUUGUUCGUUUAUUGAUACCUAGCUGCGUUUUAUUUCAGUAUAACUGCAUCAGCCUUGGACUUACGCUUGGAGCAAUUGCUGGUGUUUUGUCAAGGAAUGAACUUAUUGCUGCAGCUCUCUUCACUCUUGCAAUCAAUCACAAGCAGGUCAGGCUCUGUCUAGAGAAUCAUAUUCAUUCGACCAUUCAUAAGCUCUGUUACCAACUUACCAUGCAUGUAAGGUCAACUUUCUAGAGAACACUUUAUGUUUGCAAGCCCACGCCUUUAGGACAAGGUGGCAUUGCAUAACGGUAGUCUACUUAGCCCGAGAGGUUCUCAAUUGUCAUUGUAAAUACAAAGCAGACCUUAUAAUCUAACUAAAAAUUGUGUAAACAAACCAGUAAAAUUGUUAGUUUUAUUGUUUGCCUUGGGAUGCUUGGAUCCCAGUGAACAGUUAUGAGACCUUAAUUUAUCCCUGUUAAUACACUUGUUGGUCAUACUUUCAAGUUAUGAUAUCCCAUUGUCUUCCUAUGUAUCUUACAAGAUGAUAUGCUGCAGAUGAGUCUGUACUUUGCACCAGCUUUUUUCAGCCAUCUUCUGGGCAAGUGCCUCAAACGAAAAUAUCCUAUUGUCGAAGUCAUGAAACUUGCUUUUGUGGUCUUGGGAACUUUUGCUCUUGUCUGGUGGCCAUUUUUGCGUUCUUUUGAAGCUGCCCUACAGGUGAUGGCCAAUCAUACCCUCCUAGUUGCUUUGUGUUCAAAGUAAACCAUGUUCUAUUGCUGAAUUACAUCAAUAAAAUCUGUACAUUUUUUUUGUUAAGCUGUACGUCAUGUCCUUUGCGUGAUACUUGUUUUAUAUUUUUAUAUGUAUAGACCUAGUACACUGCUUGUCAGUCGAUACUGAGCUUGUGACGUCUGUAUUAUCAGGUGAUCUCUCGAUUAGCUCCAUUUGAGAGAGGUAUAUAUGAGGAUUAUGUUGCAAAUUUCUGGUGCAGCACUUCGGUUAUUAUCAAGUGGAAGAUAUUGUUUGCGAUUAAACCACUGAAACUUAUGAGUCUCUCUGCUACCGUACUGGCUUUCUUGCCUUCAUUUGUUCAGCAAGUCAAGUCUCCAAGUAAUCUUGGCUUCCUUUAUUCUUUGAUGAACAGCUCAUUCUCUUUCUACCUGUUCUCAUACCAAGGUAUGUUUUACUGUUAAAUUGGUAAGUUAUCUUUUUGGUUGUAAGUAUAUAGUGCCUAAUUAAUUUCAUGUCCCCACUUGUUUUCUAUCUGCAGUUCAUGAGAAAUCAAUUUUGCUUCCUCUUUUACCUGCAAGUCUUCUAGCACUAAAAGAACCUCAGAUGUUCGGAUGGUUUGUGUACUUUGCCCUUUUCUCAAUGUACCCACUUAUCUGCCGUGAUCAGCUUCUUCUACAGUAUAUUGCUGUUCUUGGCCUGUUCUUUCUCAUAUACUACUCACCUGGUGGAAGCCACGGAAAGAGAUUUAAAAUCUCAUGCGGGGCAAAGGUAGUACUUAGCUUGCCAUUUUUAUGCUCACUUUUACUUCACAUUACCUACCUGCAAAUAGAGCCUCCCAAGAGGUAUCCCUUCCUCUUUGAUGCGCUGAUAGUGUUCGUCAGCUUUUCACAAUUUGUCAUCUUAACUUUGUACACCAAUUAUAAGCAAUGGAUGUUGGACACCCAUUCUAGAUCAGUAGGUGUGAAGAAGGAUCUAUGAUUGGAAAUUUUGACAGCUAAUUUUACAGAGAAAGCCACUGCACCUCUGUAACCUUGUCUGUAUUCCCUUGUAACAUUGAUUCAUUUUUGUUGAAUGAAAUGGAUGAGGUUUUGCUCAUUGAGCAAAUGUAUACAUUUCUAUAUAAAAUUUGAGUAAAAAUUGCCGUGUACAACUGUGAUAGCUGGAAGUCACAAUUUAUAGGCAAUGAAGAUGAAGACUCAACACGAUAGCUUUGAAUUACUGAUAUCUUUUUAAGUGUCUGUGCCACUGAAAUUGCCAAUGCUAGUAUCUUGUUUGGUGCAAGUGUGGAAACUGGAAACUGUUACCUCCAGUUACCUUGCCCAGAUUGCCUCCCUCGCCAAAGCAAGGCAAGUUUCCCUAGGAUUGUUUGCUUCACCUGUCCUCUGUUUCCUCCCUCCUACCAAAAUGCCAAGACUGAGGCACUCCAUUGGAUGGAGCCCUGUUUGAUUAGGGCAAGGGAAAGGGGUUGGCUCAGAUGGUGAGUUGAGGUGCUCAGUUUGGGCGGAAAGGAGUCUGAUUUCAUAGGUCGAGCUCAAUUUGGGUGGUGAGGUGCUUAAUCUUUUCAGUCGCCAUUUAGGUUGUCCCAGUAUUGAAGCUCUGGAGCAGCAAACCUCAAGUAGCGAGAGCAACCAGAUCAAGGCCACAUUGCCAUGCAGGAGUCAAUCGGCCCUCCUGAACGAGCGAGGAAAUUGCUGAGCAAAGCAGACUACCAAUUAGUCAGUUAUCAAAUGCUAACCUUGUCGAACUUGGCGAGGUGAGGCCAACUGUCACCCAGGAACCAAACACACCUAUGUUAUGUUUUUGAUGUCAUCUUUGUUCUGUUACUGCUCUAUUCCAUAACCAACAGUUAGUAGCACUUAAGAGACAGAUAGAUUUGCUCUUGAUGUUUCUUCUAAUCAUACAUUAGAACAACACCAUACAAAAUCACUAGUCCCCAAAAGUAUUAAAGUACAAUAGAAAAAAUUCUCCGUAUCUCUACAUAUUCGUCAAGCCACUUGCUGGGGGAUGAAGAAAAAGGGUCGUGCCAAGAGAACCCGAAUCCAGAAAAAUCAGCUACUGUGGUUCGACCCUGGACUGGAAAGAAUACCCCCCACUGUAGUCAAACGAGUCGGUGCUCACGUCCUUGUCCUUCUUUGGGAGAGGAUCAUUGUAAGGAUGGCGAGGAGCCCCCUUGGUGACGUCGAAUUCGGUCGCGGACGUCGAGGCGGACGUGGAGGAGCUGCUGAGCCCCUCGCUCUGCAGCAUCACCUCGAUCUCCUUGACGACCUCGCUCAUGGACGGCCGGGCCGUGGCCACCUCGUCGACGCACCGGAGUGCCAGCUGGAGGAACUUGCUGAACGCGGCGAGGUGGUUGGUGUUCAUGAUCCUGGCGUCGAUCAUGUCCUUGAGCCCGCAGAACUCGGCGUCGGAGGCGUCGAACAUCCUCUUGGCCUCGCGGACGAUGUACUUGCCCUUCUCGAUCGGCUGCUUCGCGACGAUGAGCUCGAGCAUGACGACGCCGAAGCUGUACACGUCGCUCUUCUCGGUCAGCUGCUGGGACAUGUAGUACUCAGGGUCCAGGUACCCCUGCAGGUGAAGCAAUCAGUGCAAGGUCAGGAUCACCGGAAGAUCAGAGUCGUCCUCGUUGGCAGUAGCGGGUGCAGUGACAGAGCCUGAUGAAAGAGUCGUCGGCUCGGCGUACCAGUGUGCCUUUCACUUGGGUGCUGACGUGCCCCCUCUCGCUGUCGGAGACCAGCUUGGAGAGGCCGAAGUCGGCGACCUUGGCCGUGAGGUGCUCGUCCAUGAGGAUGUUGCUGGACUUGACGUCCCGGUGGAUGAUGGGCGGGUCGGCGAGCUCGUGGAGGUAGGCCAGCCCGCGCGCCGCGCCCAGCGCCACCCGGAGCCGCUUCUUCCAGUCGAGGUGCAGGCCGCUCUUGCCGGAGAGGCUGUCGCGCAGCGUGCCGCCGGACAUGAACUCAUAGACGAGCAUCUGCUCCCCCUGCUCGAAGCAGAAGCCGACGAGGCCGACGAGGUUCUUGUGGUGCACGCGGGAGAGCAGCUCGAUCUCGGUCUUGAACUCGUGCCCGCCCUGCAUCGACCCCUGCUGCGCCCUCUUGAUGGCGAUGAACUGCCCCGUCGGCAGCAUGCCCCUGUACACCUUGCCGUAGCCCCCGUACCCGAGCUCGUUCGCCUCGGCGAAGUUGUUGGUGCUCCGCUUGAGCUCCUCGUAGGAGAACCACCUCGCGCCCUUGAGCCGCGGCGCGCCGCCCCUCUCCUCGCUCCGAGCCCACGACGCUGCCGCAGAGGAGAUGACACGGCUCAUUCUCAGUGUGGGCGCGGCAUUGCCAGACGGACAUGGCCAAGAAGGAACGAGUACGUACCGAAAGGGCCGCCGAGCUCCUCCUUGGCCUUCUGCACUCGCCGCCUCUGCACGAACGCGUAGACGGCCGCCGCGGCGAGAGCCACGAACAGGACGCCGCAGCCGACCGCUAUCCCGAUGAUCACGCCCUUGCUCUUCGACGACGAGCCGCCCUCUGCGAUCAAUGUGGAAUCCGUGUCAGUGUGUCGUAACAAAAUUAAUCCCAUCAGUCUGCAAACAGCAUGAACGAUCGGCUGAACUUGACCUGGGAACGGGUACGGCGAGGCGAUGAAGUAGUAGGGGCCGAACUCCUUGGGCGGCUUGAACGUCUGGUUGCUGAGGUCGAAGCCGAUGCGCAUGACCUCGGAGCGGUUGAAGUAGGCGCCGCUGCCGGAAGGGAAGAGCUUCACCUGCACCUCCAUGUAGGAGUCGCUGUUGAAGAAGGGGUCCUGCAGGGAGACGGAGCCCGGGGUGAGGGCCAGCUUCGUCCACAGCAUGCUCUCCAGCGCCUGGAACGCCGUGCCGUUGGUCACGUCGUGGAAGAAGGGCGCCCGGAAGUACAUGAUCCCCUGGUACGGGUACGCGCACGAGCAGCUCUGCGGGCUCAGGCUCUGCCCCGCCGGGCACGUCCCCGAGAAGCACUUCACCAGGCUCGUCGAGUAGGGCACCGACAGCCCUUUCUGCGUCCCGUUGCAGUAGUUGGGCAGGUGCUCGCACACCGGGUUCCCGGCCAGCCUGAAUGGAAAUUGGAAACCCAAAUGGAUCAGCCACAGGAUCCAGAAGCUUCUGCGUUGCGUAGGAGGGUGGGCACUCACGCGAGGGUGCCAUUGUAGCUGGAGGUCACCGUGACGGAGGAGAACUCAUUGUUCUUGAAGCUCACGAGGCUCAGCUCGCCGCUGAUGCUCCUGCCCAGGUCCAGGGUGCCGUUGAGCGCGUUGUCGUCGAGGAUCCUGCAAAGCAAAGUCCCAACCAACCCGUUCCAAGUUCGUCAGUUUAUUUCACAGAUACAUUAAGUUCCAUUGGAGUUUGAUUUUAUUCCGAAGGUUGGUGAGUGAGCUCUUACACUUGAUUCAACUGCUGGUCGCUGAACAGCCUUGGAGACACGGGGCCGUAGAGCCUCCCGGACUGUAUGAUCCUUGAUGAUCAUCCCAAGAUCAUGUCAGUUUAGGCAUAUGUUGUGCGAAUCUGCAAGGUUUGAGGGAGAAACUUACAGAGCUGAGAGCUGUGGCAGCCUCCAAAACCACGCUGGGCACGGGGAAGGAUCAAAUGUGUUGUUGCUCAGAUCACUGAGGUGUAAUUAGACCAAAACAAUUUCAGAUUCCUUGACCAGUGGUAGGUUUAAAUAGCAUAAUAUAUCUUCAUGAUUCUGAUUGCUUACACGUAAUUGAGAAGAUCCAUCCCAGAUAGAUCUGGCAAUGUUCCAGUGAGCUGGUUGUUUGCUAAGUUGCUGAAACAUACCAAUACUGUGUUUAGUAUGAGUGUAUAUGUCUUCUCAUGCAGACAACUUCACUGGAACAAAGUAUAUGAUAUUGUGCAACUCAUGAACAACUUACAGCUCAUUUACUUUGGUGAGGUUCUUCAGAUUUGAAGGAACUGGACCAGAGAGGGAGUUUCUGUCCAGGCGUCUGUUCGAUCAACAUGCAGAGCAGAGGAAUGCCUGUCAAUUUCAUAUAUUGAUACAAAAUCAUAUGCAUAGGUUUAUCUGAACCAUUUCUUUUAGCGAAAGGGAACUUACACAACUUCAAGUGUACUAACAUAUCCAAGAGAGUCUGGGAUACUCCCGGUGAAUUUAUUUCCGUCAAAGAGCCUGCCACGAAUAUAUUAAGGUGUCAGUAAAUUUCGUCGAACUGCAAAAUCGUCCUGAAGCAGGAGUUUCAGGAGCUCACAGAUGGAUCAGCGUCAUCUCCGGGCUGAAGAGAGCGUCAGGGAUUGGACCAGACAAUUGGUUCUUGUUGAAGUGACUACAAACAAACAUUCAGAAGAACAAACAAGGGUGCUUCGGUUAGCGAUAUAUUCCAUCUUUUUCAGACUGGUGACUGAGAGAGGGAACAGCAGUAAACAAAAUUAUUUGGACCUACAAGUGUUUGGUUUUAAAAAGCUUGUCUAGGCCCAUUCCACCGCUUGUCGAAAUCGGCAGGGGUCCGCUCAGUUGAUUGUCAGCGAUAUCGAACCAGUAGAGGUUGGAGAGAUUGCCCAGCGAAGCCGGUAUUUUUCCAGAGAACUGAUUUGAGUUCAAUGCCCUGGAAGAGAGAGAUGUCAAGCUUCAUCGGAAAACAGUGAAAUUCAGAAGCAUAAAAAGGACAGUAUCAUCUGAACUGACUCCUGCACCUACUACAAGUGAUCCUUACAUGUAGGACAGCUUCGGCAGACUCCCUAGCUCAUCCGGGAUGGUGCCAUGGAAACUGCAACCGGCCAGAAUCCUGCGAGACAAGCAGUGCAUAUUAACAUCUCAGAAGGGAGAAGACAGAGGUUAACACGAAAGAGAAGAACACCGAACACGUCAAGAACUUACAAGGUGGUGAGCUGCUUCAAGUUUCCGAUGGUCGGAGUGAGCACGCCGCCGAGGUCCUUGUUGAAUGACAGGUCCCUGCAUGCACAUAAUUUGUCAAUGAUUCUCCACUGGAAGUUGCAAGAACAUAAAGAUUUAGCCGAACAGAGUGGUGCUACUUACAGGGAUUGCAGGCCAGAGAGUUGCCCUAUGUCAGCAGCUAGAACUCCUUUGAUGCCCAUGGUGGACAAUUUUCUGAAAGAGGUGAGGGCAGUGGCAAGGAGCCUCAGUAGAGUGAGUGUGCAACGGAAUUUUUGCUCUCGAGUUCUUGGUACACCUACAUGGAGAUCACUUUGUCGUUGGCGCACGUCACUCCCUCCCAUGGCGAAUCGCCGCAGGGGUCGUCGGACUGCCCCCACGUCGGCGGCGCGUUCUGCCACUGAUCCAUCAACGCCCUGAGCACAGAGGCUGCAACCAAACUCCGAUCAAUUCCAUUUCUUACUCGAACCAACAGAAUUGCUAUUGCUGUUGCUUGAUUAUCGACAAGGAAAUAGUAAAGCCAGAGUAGAGCAGAGCAAACUCGCUACGCAUGAGAAAGCAGUAUCCGAGAGCAAGCGAGCAUGGCCGAGAGAGCCAUGCAAGUGAAAUAGCUACUCACUGUCCUGGCUGUCCGUCAUGCCAUGGCACGCCCGGGGGACGCACGCCGCGAGCACGACGGCCACGGCGAGGACGACGAGCCCCAUCGUCGUCCUCCUCCCACCGCACCCGACCGCUGCUGCCUCCAUGCGCGAACAACAACAACCCCCAACCACGCCGAGGUCGCGGUGCGAGGUGCGGUUUUAGGUCGCCCGGUUCUCAGCAAAAGCUCGCUCGGGGGCGCAGCGCAGAACAACCACCGGCACCACAACCGAAGGGCAUGAUGCGCCUCAUGAUGGGAUGUGCACCCAAACGGGGCCAAAUCGGCAAGACCCGUCGUUGGGGCCGGGCCAGGGAGAGGUGGGAGGUGGCGACGACUUGACUUGAAAGCGAAGCCAAGCUCCCCCGAUGGCAUGGAGCAGUGGAGCACCACUGCACUAGGUCGCUAGCUCUCUCGGCUAGUCCAGGCACGCCCGGCCAGCCGGCCGGCCCAACCGGCUCGUCGCGUCGUGUCGUGGCGUCGCGCUCUCGCUGUCUGCACAGGAAAAGUCAUCAGCACGCGCGCGGGCGUAACCCUUGUUCUACGGCAAGUCCGACCUGAGGCCUGAGGAUGCAGCGACAGACAGUGCUGUGGCGCCGUACUGCGCUAGCAGUGCUUGUUCUCGUGUGAUGGUGCCUGGAAAGUUUUGUUUCCAUGGGGAUUAAAGGUGGUGAUGGCCGAAGGUUAGUGAUGAUGAGGGGUGUGAUUCAAGGGACGUAAAGAGGAUAGGCAACAUUAGGUGGGGACUAAAAAACUACAUUAGUGCCCAUCAUUGGCAUGUUCCGAUCUGCAAGGAUCUCUUGCUAUGAAUUUUUUUAAAAAAAAAUGCUACCAAACAGGAGGAAUUUCAUCAGAACGAAAAGAUUGCUCUAGGUGACAGUAUGUAGAGCAUGAGGCAUGUAGAAAAUCAUACUUCUGUUAGAAGCAAGCUUAGUGAAAAAGGCCGGAUGAAAUACUGUAGAGCGACCUGUCAUUCAUGGCACCCGCGCGAGGAGAGACUUUUCUGAACCAGAACGCAACGAGAGAUUGGUCCGGCGGCAGGAAGCCAUUUGCAAGACAGUCACGGUCGUUGGAGUGUGACCAGCUGAUAUUGGACUGAUAGUCCUUGUGCCGACAGUGAAGUCAAAAACGAUGCUGCUUGAAGGUGUAGCGAAAUGCCAGGUACCACGACAACUAGGUUUUUCCGAUAAGGGAAAUUUCAUUAAUCUUAGAUAGUUACAUCAAGGUGAUACAAAACCACAACAACUAGUUGGACCUGACAAGGUUUUCUCUGAUUUUUCUCGCAGCAUGGAAAAGAGCUGGCUGCAUGACUUCAACUCUGCUGUUUCGGAUAUAUAUCUCUGAUCUUUUAUCACGAAUCACCGUGACCUUCUGCUGCUUUUCCUUUUAGAAUAGAGACACACACGUGUCCACACACUGCUAUUUUCUUCAUACUUUUCAAAUUGUUUUCAACUCGUGUGUUCUUAUGGAUGCUGUGAGAACUGUAAAGCUAAGGGUUUCUGUUUGUUUCUACCCUCCUAAAACCUUACCUCCUAAAAAGUGACUAAAAACUGCUUAAAGUGCUAAACACUUCUCCUAAAAAGUGACUAAAAUCUUUUAGGAGGUCCAAAUCUUUUAGGCCCUCACCCCCCUCCUAAAACCGACUAAAAUCGGUUCUGGACCCUCCCUACCCCCGCACCCCCCGCACCGCACGUCAGAUCCCGCACCCACCCGCCUACCCUCCCUCUCUCCCGCCCGACUCCCGCCGCCCGCCGCCGCCGCCCAUCUCCUGCCGCCAGCUCCUGCCGCCCAUCUCCCGCCGCCCGCCGCCGCCGCCCAGCUCCCGCCACCCAUCCCCCCGCACCCACCCGCACCGAGACCCCACCUCCCCUCCCUCUCUCCCGCCGCCCGCCGCCGCCGCCCAUCUCCCGCCGCUGGGCUGCGGGGCCCCGGGCGCCAGGCGACCGAUGCGGGACUUCUUCGCCGCCUGGCUGGCCACCCUCCGCUCGCCGUUCCUCCCGCUGCUCCGCCGCGCGCUCUCCUCCUCGACCGGCUCCUGGGAUGACCCGCUCUCCUCCGCUGCCGCGGUCGUUGAGGCCCACUUCCAGGCGCACUGGUCCGCGCUCGUCGCCGCCGCGCGCCAGGACCCCGCGCGGGUCGUCACCUCGGGGGACUGGCGCUCCUCGCUCGAGCUCCCCUUCCUGUGGCUCGGUGACGUCCACCCAUCCCUCCUCACCUCGCUCCUCCGCACGCUCUCGCCCUCGCCGCCGCCGACCGCGUCGACCGCCGGAUCCGCGCCGCCGUCCCCGCCGUCUCCGACCGCCUCCGCCGGGCCCAGAAGGCCUUCGUGUUUUGGCGCCAGGGGCAUGGUGGGAGGUAGUGGGAGGGCACUAGGGUCAUUUUACCACUUCAUUCAAUGCCUUUAGUCACUUUUAGGAGGUGGAACCAAACAUACUUUAGGAGGGUGCCUAAAAACUGCCUAAAAAAUUUUAGGAGCUAAAACUUUAGGAGGAUGGAAACAAACAGGCCCUAAACAUAGAGAUCUUCUCUUUACCACUGGUUGUUCAUGCGUUUAACAGCAUGAUGGCGAUUUGUGAUGAUGGAAUGCUGUAAAAUUGCAUUGGCAGAUAGCUGCCUGAAGAGUGAUUUCGCGGCAUGGCUAGGACGCUUUUGCAAGAAUGCUUAGGCUAUUUUUUAAAAAGAAAGAGCAACAUAGUUUGUGCUAUUUUUUUUAAAAAAGAAAUAGUAACAUAGUUUGUGAUUAUUUUAAAAAAGAAGAAGAAGAAACGAUCAUGUUAAUUAUCUGCUGAGACUGAAUGUGCCUGGAAGAACAAUACCACAAGCUAUUUUUGAAAAGCACGCUCCAUUCUGUUACCUGCUUGUCUGAGUGUGUACAGAAGAAACAAUCACCAUCAAGAGGGUUGCACAGCAAGUCUCGUGCCUUUGAUGGCAUGAUGCCAGUGUUGAAAACAACCUAAUUGUCAUAGCCUUUUCUUUGGAACCUUUUAUGCCGGAAGGGAGAAAGAAAAACAAUAAGCAAGUUAUGCAACAGGUUUCAUGAAAGAAACCUCGACAUAAGGAGUAGAAACACACUGUAAAUGGGACCUUAUCGUUCCUAAUUUUGGGUUCCACAUAUACGGCACGUCAUCAUAUUGCUCCAGAAAAUUUGGAGGAUUUAGGCUUAAUCACUACAAGAUUAGCAACUUAGUUUUUGAAACGUUAGCAACCUUUCCCAGCAAUUUGUUUGCAAUUGUCCAAUAAUUUAUAGGUUUUUUAGUUAAGUUUACAUCGUAAUUGUGGGCAAUAAGUUUAUUGUUUUUUUUUGUUUUUUUGCGAGUGAAGUUUAUUGGCAAUUAUGGUCGUAAUUUGGUAGAACCGUCGCCGCCGCUCAGAAGAGAAAGAAAUACUAAAGAAGUAAGGAGCACUAAAAUUUAGCCACUAAUAAGAAAAAAUGUUGGAAAACAUUGAAUAUCUUGCAGUAAAUGGCUAAGAAUGUACUAAGAAAUACUGGGUCUGUAGCCUGCUUGCUUCUGUUGGGGGCAUAUUCCCCAUAUUCAAAGGGUCUACCAUAAAAAUUUGGAUAGAAGCUACUCCCUCUGUCCCAUAUUACUAUUCGUUUUGGUUUUUUUUACAUAUAUAACUUUUGCUAUAUAUUUAUUCAUAAUAAUUUAGGUGCAUACCAAAAGCUACUUAUCUAGAAAAGUCAAAACGAGUAGUAAUUUGGAAUGGAGGGAGUAUAUGUUAAAAUAAUUUGGAUUGUUAUAGGGUUUAGAGUUGGUUGUGUCUAUAAUUUCAACAUAGCUUGGUGGAAAGAUAUAAUGGCAUUAUAAGAAUCCUGUGGUUGGAUUAUACACCAUAAUUCAAGCUGUUUGGAUAGGCUACAUAUUUUUUAAUUCAUUUUUUAAAACAAAUAUAACUGAUCCAGACACUCCAUAAAUGUAGACAUCUUAGGAUCGGUUAAACUUUUAACUUGGUCCAGCAAUACGUAGAAAUAUACAUAUAUUGACAACAUAUGGCUGAUUCAUCAUGAAAAAUACUUUCCAUAAUAUUUAGUUUUCUUUAUUUAAAAGAAUAUGCUUUAAAUAGUGCAAGUCAAAGCGUCGUAUUCGGCAGUGUGUCCAUAUCUUAAAUGACUUACAUUGGAAGGGACUGUUUGCGGCUCAAGAGCAUCAAGCUUGCUCUACCAAAUUCUGCGGCUUUAACUAAAUUGGGUUAUCUUUUAAUUUGGUUCAUGAUAACUUUUUUUAAAAAAAACAAAGUAUAGAUGUAAACACUUAUAUACAUGCGUAUACACUCAAGUACUCAACAACAUGACAUACACACUCUAUUUUCAUGAGCACUUCACAGAGACUGAUGAAAAUGGGCACAUCUCCUAUACCGCUAAAACAAUAGCGCUGUUAACUCCUCAAAUAAAUUUAAGAAAAUUCAAACAUUCGUGCCAGAUCAGAUCUUGAACUUGGUACUUCAGUAGCCGGGUCGAAUGCAAACAUUUGGUGAGACAAAUAUCUUCCUCAAGCUCCGUCUCUGAUACGAACCAUAAUAGAUCUGAUGCAAGAGAUUCAACAUAACAUGGGGGAGAAAAAUUGCGAGCUCUUUUUUUCUUUGGAAGCUCUUUGCAUGAGGCAUGGGUGGGGCCCGUCCCGGCAAGCUCCUACUGUACUGCGGACUCGGAGCUAUGGGCAGUUCCCAUUGCAAGAGGAUUUUGCUCGGAAAAAAAGAGCAACUGCAAGAGGAUCAGAAACGCACGCUGAAGUUUCUGACUGAGCGUGCAGAGGGCUUCUAUCAUUGUAGUCGAGCGGGCCCUGCCGUUAUAAAUUCCUCGCUCCAUGGUCUUUAUGGAUAUGGUCGGAGAGCUUAUCAGAGGACUUGGUCAGACUUGAUGUUCUCAUGUAGCCGAGGAGGAUUUCAAUGCCGAUUGCGAUGGAUAUCUAAGGGCAGUCCCAAUGGGACAUUGAUGAUAGUUUCUAUCCCUCUUGAUUGUCAUGCCAACUAAGCAAUUUGUUGAUGUGGCAAUAGAUUUAUUAUGGAGAGAGAGAAACCAUUUCUUAGAGAGGAAACCAAGUCCUCACGCGCACCAAUAAGCCAAGAAACUAGCGAAUCUGCAUUGGGGAGACCCAAGUAGUUUCUUCUUACUUAUUGCCGGAUCCUUUGCGCUUGCACCGCUGCUACCCAUCACUCGAGCUCCUUUACAUGAUGCACAGAGGAUCUGAUACUAGAAGAGAGAAUGAUUGGUUGGAUUUUUGUUUAGACUCUAGAUAAAAAAAAGUUGCAUUGUGAAGGAUGAUUUCUUGAUACAAUAUUCUAGACUAUAGAAACUAGGUUGGUUUCCCAUUAGGACUGUACUAAGACACCAAAUCUCCGUCGAUUCUCUGGCAGAACGAUAGACGCGCGUUGAUCAGGACAUCACAUCUUUUUUGAGGGUUAAGGCAGGCCAGGGCCCAGGGGGACAUCUUUUUUGGGGGCCUUUUACUGCCUGAAAUACACGGCCUGGUUGGACCAGGCUGGAUUAUGUAUGGGCUCUUGGGAAGAAGUUGGGAUGCAUGCCGUAGCAGACUAGCAGCCCGUCAAGUUUGAAUUUUUGCCACUCCGACAUGCGACCGCUGCUGCUGUUCUCACCUUAGGCCAUCAUCAACGCGAGCAGCCAUGGUGGUUGGCUAAUGACUGGUGGCUCACUCUCAUUAGGAUUCAUGCUCUGGCGGUGGAUAUUCUCAGUGAUGACCACGCAGACGAACUAAUGAUAACGGGAGGCUGGCGGACCACCAUGUCGGUGUGUUCACGGUGGCGGUGAAGGUAACAACGACGGCAACGGAUGUUGAUGCAGAUGUUGGCGCUGAUGGUUGGUGGCUCACGUCUGUCUAUGGACCACAAGCGGACGAUGAGAAGGUUCUAUUCCUAGAGUAACUGCAGGCUAUUCGGAAUGAAUGCGAUGGUCUUUGCCUCUUUGGGUUGUCGCGGGCGAUUUCAAUCUGAUCCUCGACUCGGCGGAUAAAAACAAUGGCAGAGCUAACCGGAGGAACAUAGCGAGAUUUCGCGGAGUGGUGGACGAACUCGAACUCCGGGACAUUCAUCUGCAUGGGCGGCUGUACACUUGGAGCAACGAACGGACGAAUCCAACAAUGGUUAAAUUGGAUCGGGUGCUCACCUCCGUGGACUGGGAGGAGCGAUUUCCAUUCUGCUUCCUCAGGCUCUAUCCACAGAAGGAUUCGACCACAGCCCACUAUUAUUACAGUCGAACGCGGCACUCUCGCCUAAGCCAAGAUUUCGGUUUGAAGCUUUCUGGCCAAAAUUGGAGGGCUAUCUGGAGGCAGUUUCACGAGGUUGGCGCUGCACUGAUGACACGGCGGACCCAUUCCGACGCCUGGACAGCAUGCUUAGGAAUGUGGCUCGUCAACUGCAGAGUUGGGCGGACAAGAAAGUUGGCAACGUCAGACUUCAGCUCAUCCUCGCUCGGGAACUCAUCCUACGGUUUGAUUGUGCGCAGGAAAGAAGGGCACUAUCUGAGGAAGAGACAGAAUUUCGCAAACAACUCAAGGUUCUGUGCUUGAGCCUGGCGUCUCUGGAACGAACCAUCGCCCGGCAGCGUUCGCGGAUCCUCCAGCUGCAAGAGGGCGAUGCAUGCACCAAGUUCUUCCAUCUGCAUGCCAGUUACAGACAGCGCAAGAACUACAUCGUCAGCCUGCACGAGGACGAGACGGAUGCCACGGUUUAUUCUCAGGAAGAAAAAUCAGAACUGCUGUAUGUGUACUUUGAGAACCUGUUGGGAACUGAGCACGCUCGCGCAGCAACACUACACCUGGCUAAUUUGGGGGUUGAGCGUCGGGAGAUGCCGGAGCUGGAGCUACCAUUCACUGAAGAGGAAGUUUGGGGCGUGAUUCGUGAACUACAAGGCGCCUGGGCCUGAUGGGUUCACGGCCGCCUUGUAUCAGACGGCAUGGCAGAUCAUCAAGCCGGACGUCAUGCGCCAUCAACGCUUUCUACACGGUGGAUCGACGACAGCUCAGGUGUGUGAAUGGUGCUCUCCUCGUUCUGAUUCCAAAGAUCUUGGACCCAAAGAAACCAAAGGAUUACCGGCCGAUCAGUCUCAUACACAGUUUCCCCAAACUCAUCUCCAAGAUGUUGUCCAAACGUCUGGCGGUGCGACUCGGUGACAUGAUUACCGGCAAUCAAACGGCGUUCAUGAAGGGGCGAUACAUACUGGACAGUUUCAAAUAUGUACUGAGGGCGGCGGUACUGCUGAAAAAGAGGAAGAUACCCAAGAUGCUAAUGAAAUUGGACAUCUCAAAGGCAUUUGACACAGUGGCCUGGCCUUUCCUUCUAGAAGUACUUGAAGCUUGGGGUUUCGGACAGCGUUGGAGAGAUUGGAUCGCUUUGCUACUCUCGACAACCUCAACUAGAGUUCUACUCAAUGGCGAGCCAGGGCAUCCAAUCACACACUGCAGAGGGCUUCGGCAAGGAGAUCCACUGUCGCCGAUGAUUUUCAUACUGGUUAUGGACGCGCUGAACCGCCUGUUCGCCAAGGCUAGCUUGGAGGGCCUCCUUCAGCCAAUGGGGCACAGAUCGAUCAAGUAUCAGUGCAGCUUCUAUGCGGACGACGUGAUCCUCUUCGCGGUUGAUGAGAUGCGCUGCAUUGUCGCUAUUCUGGAGAUCUUUGGGACAGCGUCUGGGCUCAGCACCAACCUAAGCCAGUGCUCCCUUACGCCAAUACAUGGCUGUGAACACACGUUGGAGGUAAUACAAGAGAUUUUCCCAUGUCAGAUUCUACCACUCCCUAUCAAAUAUCCUGAGGAGGCUGCGCGUGGCGAGGCACGUGUAUAGGGUGGCAACAUCCUGAGGAGAUGCCCGACGACUGGUGAGGCGGUGCAGCGGUGGCCGCGUCCAAGGAGCAGAGGUCGAGUGGUGGUGCAUCUGAACGGCGAGCGCAGCGGAGGUGGAGGUACGGUGGUGUGGUGCGUGGAGGCACAGCGGUGGUACCAUCCUGGAUGGGCUGCCGUGAUUGUGGUUCGGAGUGUCAAGCCGUGAGCGUGCAACGAGGGGUUGGGAUACUUCGGGCGAAAGCCCUCGCCAGCGUUCUUGCUGGUGGAGAUGACGGCGGCGCCCUAGGGCAUCAUUUUCCCUAUUGGAGCAUCAUGUCUAAGCUACAACCCUGCUACACGGGUCCUCUAGGUGAAAACCCUGUCCAAAUCUUGGACGAGUGACAACGGUGCCAUUGGUGUCAUGCCCUCCUUAGAGGUGUCGUCUCUAGAGACCCAUCUCAUUUUGUGGCAUUGCUGGUCCAUCGGUCAUGGGCGGCUGCAGCUGGUCGCAGCAAUUCCGCCGCGUGGCAAGCUGGACAGGUGUUGCCGAGGCCAUAUGGAGGCGAUCGCAGUUAUGGUGGCGGCUAGGGGUUGUCGCAUGGUUGUCGAUUUUGGCUGCUUGCAGCAGACUGCGGCGGCUGGCGUUGCUUGGCAACGGUCAGUGUGGUGUAGGAUUGUGUCAGAGGAUGGUGCUUGCGGCAAUGACAUCAUGGGACGACUAGGCUUGCAGCGGACCGCGGCAGGUUGCUAAGCUUGGCUGGGCUAUUCGGUGUGGUACAUUGUUGGAAGACGGCCCAAAUAACUUCUCUGGCUUGUUGACACGGCGGCGGAGGCUAUUUGCGCGGAUGAAGCAACGAGGCAAAGUUGACCUGCGACGGCGGCUUGGCUGAUCGAUGGAGAUCUUGUGGAGCGGGGCAAUAUUGCUCACCACUCUGUCCGUGAUAAAAGAAACGGAUCCAUGACGUGGAGUACUGUGGCGGGUGUCGCGAGGCCCCCGCACGCGGUGUUUCUUCGAGGUGACGAGAGCGAGGUGGAGUCCAACGGCGGAUGUGGCGAGGCCCCCGCGCGUUAUGUUAUCGCGGUGGCGACUACGAGGCAGCCUACGAGAGGUCCGGAUUCGGUGGUACCACUCUUCAAGUGGAGUGUGGUGUUGCAGCAGCACUACAAUGGAGGGUCCCGUAUGGCGAUGGCCUUCUUGGUGCGGUGCAGUCUGCUUCUAUCGGUUCCCUGUCAACGCAGGGCCACGCCUGGAGGCAUGCCUGGAGGUUUCGGCGACUACAUGAGCGUGAAUGUUGGUGGGUGGCGCGGAAAAGCUUCAGCUCUACUGCCGUUGUCGGGCGGAGUUAAAUCUGCUUGAGAUGUGUUGAGUUCGGCGCGUGUUGAUGUCCCAAUCCAACCGACCGAUGUGUUAUUAAGUUGAGUUAAGUGCAAUGGCGUGAUGCGGUAUGUGUUGAUGAUCCAAUCCAACCUGCCGGUGUUUGUGUUGUUUUUUCAUUUGUUGUUUUUGCCUAGUCUGAGCUUCAUCUUCUUUUUAAUAUAAUCGGCAACUCUUCCGCCUAGUUCGUUUAAAAAAGCAAUUGGAUUGAGGUAUCAUCGGUGGCUCAGUUAGCCUCUACUCUGUAUGAGGCGGUACCACGAAGGAUAAGGCGUAAGCAAACAGUCGAGCAAGACCUGCUGAAUCGACGCUGGAUACGUGCAAUUCAGGAAUCCCCGUCCGUCCAGUCAAUAGUUGAAUACCUUGGGCUAUGGGAGCGGAUUUCUGAUCUACACUUAGCAGAUGAAGAAGAUGUCUUCAUUUGGAAAUGGACUGCUAACGGGCAAUUCUCAUCAAAAUCUGCCUAUGAGGCUUUACACCAGGGAAGUGUCGAGCGAGACGUAUCUGGAAAUCAUGAGCUCCUCCAAAGGUAAAAUUUUUCAUUUGGCUGGCUUCAAGGCGGCGGUUAUGGACGACGGAUAGGCAGCGUCGUCACGACCUCGAUGCAACGGAUGAAUGUUGGUUUUGCGAUCAAGAGAAGGAGAUAGCUGACCACAUUCUGGUAAACUGUUACUUUGCGAAAGAAAUCUAGUGGGGAGUCCUCAACUCAUACCGUUGUGUCUGUUCCUUUCCAAGAGCCAUACAUAUGCAGGAAUGAUGGAGCUUCAUGCGUCAUCGAUACCAGCAGAAUAGGAAAAGAGGAUUCGAUUCCUCGCUCAUGCUCAAGACCAGACACAUAUGGAAAGGAGAAAUGCAAGGUUGUUCAAAGAUGAAAGCAAAACAACAAAGGGUGGUGCUGUAGGAAGCCGCAUUGGGAGCCUCUCGCAUUGGUAGUCUGAUACGCGAGUAAUCAUCAUAAGUGUUUGCGCUCUUUCUUGUUUUGAUUGUCACCUGAUUUUAUGUAAUAGUCUCUUUUAGAACUCUAAUUUCAGGCGUUUGCAUCCCGUGUAACACGUUGUAAUCCAUACUUAUAACAUAAACUCUCUUCUGCUUAAUACCAAGAUGCGUAGAGUUCUUGCAUGUUCAAGAAAAAAUGAUAACGGGAGGAUGAGCCGGAGAGCAUAUAGGCAACGGAGGUUGUAAUAUAAGCCGGCUGAAAAAUUGAAAUGGCUGAUUUGUUGUAAGAAAAAAAUAAUGUUCGGUAGCUGAUAAGUCGGCGGAUAACCUGAGCUGAACAUAGUGUGACAAUGUAGCGGCGAGCCGGCGGCAGACGCGCAAAGCAACAGCAAGGAACCUUCGACUUUGGUGGAGUCCCCCGUCACGGCGUCACGUGAAGACCACCACUCCACCAGCAAUAAACCAGCCGAGGGCCCGAGCCCCUCGCUCGGCGCGCCUUCAAAGCUCGGGCUCCGUGGCCCGUGACGCCGCCCCGCGGUUCCCGCCCUAGCACUUCGCUUGGCGCGCCGCCGCCCCGCUGCCUGUCUCCAGCUGUCGUCCGAAGCGCAGCUCUUCACGCAAGCCUGCCGGGCCAUGGGUUUCCUGCGGCCAACGGCAAACCGGGGUCGUUUCGUGUGUUCUGCGCUGCCCGUCGCGCCCACCGGCAACUGAACUGACAGCUCCCAAAAUGUCCUCCGAUGAUUAGUUGCUUUCACGACGUUCCAGCUUUGUUAUCGUGAGAAAUCAGUAGUUGUUCGACCAUUGCCGAUCCCGUAGCUCGCACUAGAGGUCGAAAUACCAUCGGCCGGCUUGGACCACGGAGUACGCUCGCGUUCCUCUACCGGACCAGCAGGUGAGGCUGCUCGCGGUAUCAUCCAUCGUGCUACGACGCACUGGGCUGCUGCGACAGCUACACGGACGAACGAGAGCAACACUUCAUCGUUGUGUUGGAAAGCAGCAAAAGACAGGCGCUACGAAUAAACAACGCCCGACUAAAAUAACUUCAGCAGCAAGGUUUUCACGACUGCUCGCCACGCCAAAUCGGCGCUGCACGGGCACGAAGCCAGUGGCCACGAAAGUAGAAACGGGAAAGUGCCCGCUUUCGGCAAAGCCCGGAUGGAUCAUGGAUGGAUGAAUGGCGGUUCAGUCGCGUCGCCCUCCCGUUUGCUCCUCCGCGCCGUUUGCCUUGCCUUGCAAGAGAGCCGUCUCAUCCCCAAUCACGACUCCUCGUGAUAUCCUCUCAUCUUUUCACGAACAGACUAGUCUAACGGUCUGAUUGCCCGCUAAACUAAACUUACUGUGCAAGGAGAAUGGCUCGUGCGUGGUCUCCAUCGCUUUUUGUUAGCUGCGCUCCGUCCCUUUCCAGCGCAGUUACACCUAACCGAAUCCAGGAGCUUCCGGAUCAUGCGUUGAUCCGCGAGCAAUGGCCAAGUGCUGGAUGCCGGGAGGAACAAGGUAUCACUGCAGGCGGGUGCCAAGCACGGCUCACCGAACCCACUCCACUUGCGUUGCGUGCAGGGGUACACUCCUCGACAUGAACAGUACCGGAUGCAACAGUUGGAACUGCUGGGUCGUACAAGUGUGCAACACGAUCUAGCGGGACAACGACCUUGAUAAUGAAGCACCAACAGAACUACAGAAGCACUUUGGGUCACUGAGAAAAUAGAAAAACAUUAUCUUUUAUUAUAAAAAGGAAAAAAUAAUGUACUGAAUCAGCAGGAAGCCAACAACUCAGAUUCGCAAAACAUUCUAGAGGAAUCAGUUUAUAAAAAACAAUUAAAGGUAACGCUGAACCUGAAACAGUUAAACCUCUGCCGAAAGCCCGAAGCCCCCUGUUAACAGCAAUAAAACAAAGACCCAGCACCAAACAGGUGAGCACGAAGCACGCGUGGACGAGGAAGACCGGGGAGUCCACGGUCAUUACUACUGAGGCAGCAAGAAAACAAAUCUGCUUAUCCCGUAAGCAAUAUCAGCAGCAAGCAUCCGCCGCCGUCCCCACACCCAACUCCACACUACUCCAAACGCGCUCCGUUGCCCAACCCGCCGGCAGCCAAAGUACAGCAGGCAUGCGUCCCUACCCCUGAUAUCCCACCCCCACCACCACUCCGGCCGCCUCUCCCCCAGCAAACCCCAGUAUCCCACUGCCCCAUAGCCCACAGCUCUUCCCCAGUUCCCUUUCCAUCCAUCGCCCUUGCGUCGCCGGAAGAACGCCGGAAAAUCGCCCCGCGGCCGCCGUGCCAGAGGCGUCAAUCGGCGCGGCGGCAUUUGUUGCUAGCUAGUAGGCGGGGAGGGGGGCAGGAUGAGCAUGUACGGGAGGGACCCGUGGGGCGGGCCGCUGGAGAUAUGCCCCGACUCGGCCACGGACGACGACCGCAGCCGGAACCUGGACAUCGACCGGGGCGCGCUGUCGCGGACGCUCGACGAGACGCAGCAGAGCUGGCUGCUGGCGGGGCCCGGGGACCAGGGCCGCAAAAAGAAGAAGUACGUCGACAUCGGCUGCCUCGUCGUCAGCCGCAAGCUCUUCGUCUGGACGCUCGGGGUGCUCCUCGCCGCCGCCGUCUUCGCGGGGGUCGUGGCGGGGAUCGCCAAGGCCAUCCCAAGGAGGCACCGCCCGCCGCCGCCGCCAGACGACUACACCGUCGCGCUGCACAAGGCGCUCAUGUUCUUCAACGCGCAGAGAUGUGAGUUGCUGCUCUUUUCCUGCACUUCUGUUUCGUUUGGGGUUUCGCGUUUUCUUGUGGGAAAUGCUUGUGUUUUUUCUUUCUUUUUUGUGUCCGCAGCCAUUACUCUGGUGAUUCGAGAAAUUUAGGGCCUGGUUUGGGAAAUUUUGGUAUAAAAAAUGGCUGAUUUUUUAGACAGCGGACUGUUUUUUACUCGGUAGUAGAAUUGUAGAAUAAUGAUAGAUUAAAUUUUUAGUGGUGGUUUUGACGAUGCUUUGCAUCGCCUGUUGGAAAGCUGGACUUUUUAGUCGUUUUAGCUAGUUAUAUUCUCGAUUCAUUACCUGAAAUGGGAGAGAGGACGAGCGCUCCUGGUUCUCUUAUCUUUCAGAUCUGUCCUUAAAAAUGCCUAAACUGCAUUUUGAAGAUUGAUUUUCAAAUGUGAAAUGCGCAUUUCAUUCAUGUCCGCGUUCUUCAAAUUUGCUGCAGCUGGCAAGCUUCCGAAGCACAACAAUGUACCAUGGCGUGGUAACUCUUGCAUGAAGGAUGGGCUCUCGGACCCGGCAGUACGGAGAAGCCUGGUCGGCGGGUACUACGACGCUGGCAAUGCCGUCAAGUUCAACUUCCCAGCUGCCUUCUCCAUGACCCUCCUCAGCUGGAGUGUCAUUGAGUACAGUGCUAAGUACGAGGCUGUUGGAGAACUUGGCCAUGUCCGUGACAUUAUCAAGUGGGGAGCAGACUACUUCUUGAAGACCUUUAACUCCUCAGCCGAUAGCAUUGAUCGUGUCAUUGCGCAGGUAAAAAUAAAUCACCACAAAUAGAGAUGCGCUGGGUGUUAUGUUCUUGUCCCACCAGGCCAUGCUAAUCUAAAAAAUUAUGGGGAGGGUGCAGGUGGGAAGUGCUGCAACGUCACCUGGUUCUACACAGCCCAAUGAUCAUUAUUGUUGGAUGAGGCCAGAGGACAUCGACUACCCACGUCCAGUGGUCGAGUGCCACGCCUGUUCGGAUCUUGCUGCUGAAAUGGCUGCAGCAUUAGCUGCAGCUUCUAUUGUAUUCAGGGACAAUAAGGCUUACUCACAGAAGCUUGUACAUGGUGCUACCACUCUCUUCCAAUUUGCACGGGAUCGGCGUGGCAGGUAUAGUGCAGGUGGUUCAGAUGCUGCAAAGUUCUACAAUUCAACCAGCUACUGGGAUGAGUUUGUGUGGGGUAGUUCAUGGAUGUACCUUGCGACUGGCAAUUCGUCAUACUUGACUCUGGCCACACACCCCAAGCUUGCAAAGCAUGCUGGUGCUUUCUGGGGUGGUCCGGAUUAUGGUGUGUUCAGCUGGGAUAAUAAGCUCACUGGUGCACAGGUAAAUGUCUUAAUUUUAUCUUGCCUAAUUAAAUGUUGAGACAUUCCUUACAUGACCCGCUGGCAUUUAGUUUGGUUGAUGGUUUAUACAUGGUACUGGAGUAGUACAUUUCGUUAUAACAUCUGCCCUAUAUGUUGAAUCAUUAUUUUUCUACAAGUAUACAUCAACUUGCUCAGCUGUGGUAGUAAUUUAGUGCCAGGUCAACCUCCUGUCAUAUUUAAGGUACUAACUAUUGUUAAACAAUAGGAUGAUUCCAAUUAUAGAGCAUGUGAGUCAGGGUUUUGUUGAUAUAUUAAGGGUGAUGUGGGCACAUCUUCAUUGUUGUCCUGUCUAGGCCUGUGCAUGCAUAGCACCCUUUCCCUUUACCCAUAGGUGUUAAUUAGAUCCGGACCAAUAGGUACAACAUGCUAGUGUUCAUCAUUUAAACAGGCAAUGUUGUACUAAUAGCUGGGGUGUCACACUCUUUCAAUCUCCAUGCAGCAUUCUACUAUAACACAACACUCUUUAUAACUUCUUUUUUUUAAGAAAAAAACUCAUGUGGUCAUGUGGUAAUCGAGCCCUUUUUCUAAAUAGGAAAAGGUAGCAUUUUUUGUUUGCUGUUGAACGAAUAAUGGCUUUUGACAUGCUUGUCUUACCUUUUUAUUUAUCUUCAAUUCCAGGUUCUUCUAAGCCGGUUAAGGCUUUUCUUGAGCCCUGGAUAUCCGUAUGAAGAGAUGUUGAGGACAUUCCACAACCAAACUAGCAUUAUCAUGUGUUCCUACCUUCCCAUCUUUAAGUCUUUCAACAGAACAAAAGGUCUUAUAGCCAUCAACUCAGUGUAUUACACUAUCACUACUGCUUUUUAGAAUAGUUUACUGAAAAUUUUCAUUACAGGUGGUUUGAUUCAGUUAAAUCACGGGAAGCCACAGCCUCUUCAAUAUGUGGCCAACGCUGCAUUCCUUGCUUCUGUGUUCAGUGACUAUCUUGAGGCUGCAGAUACCCCUGGGUGGUAUUGCGGCCCCCAUUUCUACUCUAUUGAGGUUCUUCGCGGUUUUGCAAGGACUCAGGUAAGCUGGUAGCAUUUUAUACUACAAUCUUGUUCCAGCAGUUUUUAACCCCUGAUGCUAAUUUGUUCCUUCUAUCAGAUUGAGUACAUCUUAGGAAAGAAUCCUUUGAAGAUGAGCUAUGUGGUAGGGUUCGGAAAACAUUACCCCAAGCAUGUUCACCACCAGGGUGCUUCGAUCCCCAAAAACGGUGUUCACUAUGGCUGCAAAGGAGGGUGGAAGUGGAGGGACACCAAGAAGCCAAACCCGAACAUCAUAGUUGGAGCUAUGGUCGCUGGCCCCGAUCGCCAUGAUGGAUUCAAAGAUGCCCGCAAGAACUACAACUACACUGAAGCAACGCUGGCGGGCAAUGCUGGUCUAGUCGCAGCAUUGGUAGCUUUGUCCGGUGAAAGCCAUGGGGUGGACAAGAACACGAUGUUCUCUGCAGUGCCGCCCAUGUUCCCAUCACCUCCACCGCCAUCAGCACCAUGGAAACCAUAAUGGCUGCGAGUAUCUGAUUCUUUUGUAUACUACGUAUUUUAGACUAGAGUUUUCUUUGUUGUAACACUACUGUGGAGAUCUAACAAGUGAAGAUGUAGCCAUUGCCUUGUUUUGGUUUCUUUUUCAGUGUUGUAUAAUCGCCGUGCUGUGUGCUAUGGACUAAGUUGUGUAUGAAUCUCUAUGUUCUACUAAUUCAGUGACAGAUUCCAAGGCAAUUUGUGGGAACUCUUGCAUCAGUUGAGUUCGAAAAAGCAGCAAUUGAUUCUCCGGGGAUCUGCGGGAACUCAACGUGGUUGUGUUUCCUGGACACUUGGAUUUUUCGAAACUCCUGAACAAGUAUUGCGAUGGUUUUGCCGGUUUCCGGCAAGGAGUAUCCCCAGGUGCGUCUUCACCUUCCCACCUCUUCACUCUGCAAUUCCACUCCCUCCCGAGACUCGAUCUCAGGAAGUCAGGAUGCCCGUUCAAUUCGAUUCAUGCCGUAUCCCCUCCGCGGCGUGUAAUUCUCCCAUCUCGUGCUGUAUCUUGACCAUAUGGAGCUGUUGGAAAGAGUGAAACCCCCUCCUCUCCAAUCUCCAUCACUAGUUCACUACCCCAAACUCCGGUGAGCUCAGAGACCUCCUAGUCCGAUCCUCAUCCUCUCCACGAUGAGUAGUAGCGGCGCAGCAGCAGAAGAAGAUGCGGCUGAAGCUGUCGGUGAAGGACGACGACGAAGUCGCCGCGAACGUCGUGCCGCCGGUGACCGUGGUCCUGGACGGGCAUCUGCCACCGAGACCACCUCAACCGGCAUGCCGGGUACCGCAGCCUCGCGGGCGCGCUCCGCUGCCUGUUCGUUGACGCGGACGAAGGCCAGGGGGAGGACGGCCUCGACCGAGCCAAUGCCAUCCCGGGCCACGUAGUGGCGUACGAAGACAUGGAGGACGACCUCCUCCUCGCCGGCCAUCUCAAGUGGAAGAUACAGCACGGGAUGGCCGCCGCCGCCCGCCCGCCCGCUCUGGGCGGAGAAAAGGAGUAGAGGAGGGCGCGGAGCAUGGAGUAGGCGGAGGAGAGGAGGAAGGUUGAGACGAGCAUGAGUACGGACACGGCGACGAGAAGGCGCGACUGGACACUCCGAAUGUGUCACCGGGCACAGCUUGCCAGCCAAUCUAUCUCGUCGGCGGCGAACGGGAAGGAGAGCGCUGCGUCGCCGUGGUAAGAGAAGAACAGAACUACGAAAGGACUAGUUUGUAAAAUAUAGGGAAACAAAUAGGGGUUUUAUGAAAAUAAUUGGAUCGCGAUUCGAUCCAAUUUAGGAGGUUUUAUGUAAAUAAUCGGUCGCGGUUAUUACACAGGAUCCGUUUUAGGGGGGUUUGUUUAAAUAAUCGGAUCACGAUUAGUAAUCGCGAUUUAGUUUAGGGAACUUUACGUAAAUAAACGGAUCGCGGAGAACAAUCACGAUCCCAAUGAGAAUUUAAUUUGCAAAUUUUGUGACCGCCGUCCACUCUGCGAUGCGACCUGCCCCGCCGGCGGACGCCCGGCGUCUCCAGCAAGCCCGCGGGAGCCGCAUUGGCUUCCGGAUGGAUAACCCGUUCGACGCGAAGGUGCUCCAGGUGCCGUCGUCGGCAGAGGACGGCAGCUGGUGGCAGCGACGGGAGGCUACGCAGGACGGACCGUCCGACGGUGGUAGUCGGCAUCCGAAGGGGAGAGUAUGCAUACGAUCUGGUAACGCCCGCCUCCUCCCCUUGCCAUCAGUGCCGUCUAUUUGGUUCUUUCCACAUGUUCAGUCAUGAUGUUCAUUUUUUUUAAAUGAUGAUGAACUUCGUCAAGGGGAAGUCUUUCACCCCUGAUAUGUUGGUAGGCAUAGUUCGAGCAAUCAGUUGCUGUUUAUGUUUUAAUAGUUUGAGACUAAUAUUUAGGCUCAUAUAUAGCCAAAUCAUUUGAAUUCUGGUCUUAUGCUGCACAAAAAUAGGGAAUAGGGAAAUUUUCAAGUGUCAGCAGUUACUGACUGAAGUAGUGAAACUAGUUAGGUUCAGCAACCUAAUAUCUGAUGAUCAUGGUGGUUUGUAGUACUAACGAUGGUUUUAUGGCAUAUAAUUAAACCUUUCCUGUUGAAGUUUCAACUCAUACAGGCUUUUCAGACUUUCAGCUUCUCAAGCUAUAUCAAACUCCAGAAGAAAGACAGCUAGAUGAGUUUUCAGCGUUAUGGUUAUCUUUUCUAACAUCAUGUAUUUUAAAUCACUGUGUAUAUGAAUAUACGAUCAUUAUUUUGCCAUCUUCCUAAUUGCUACCCCACUGUGGUCCACCUCAGAGCAUAAAGCUUAUUGUAAUUAAUAAAAGAAUUAAAGCAAACUUGGGUGAAAAGUAAGGCCUGUUUGGAAAGGGGUGUUAAACUUUAACACCCCCACUUUUAACACCUUUUUAACACAUUGGCUCCCAAGCAGGAGUGUUAAAAGGUUGUGUUAAAGUUUAACACUCCCAAUUUCAUAAACAUAUCAAUGGGGUGUUAAAACUUGAUAAACUUGUUAAAAGUGGUACCCCUCUCUACUCUUUCCCUAAUUGCCCCCCUUUCUCUCUCCUCCUCUCUCUCCUCCCUGCCGCCUGCGCAUCCUCCCCUCCCGCAUCGCAUCCUCCCCGCUCGCCGCCAUCUCCUCCCGCCGGCAGUCCAUCCCGCUCGCAGGUCCUCCUCUCUCUCCUCUCCCUCUUUCUCACAUCCUCUCUCUCCUCUCGGAGGCAGCGGCGGGCGGCCGAGAGCAGCAGUGUGGCAGCAACGUCUGGGGGGGAGCAGCGGGCACAACAGCGGUCGGGGAGGAGUAGCGCGGCAGCAGCGGCCAGGCAGGCGUGGCUUCGGUGGCGAGGCAGGCUUCGGCGGUGCGGCUUCGGGGCAGGUGGCGGCUUCGGCGACGGGCGCGGGAGGCAGGAGCAGCGGGAGUGGGCACGGGCGCGGAGGGCGGCUCUGAGCGGCGCCGACGAGUGGCCGCGCGGGAGAGCCGGCGAGCGACUUCUCCUCCACCACCGUCGGCCCCUAAGUGCGGUCCCUCCGUCCCCAAUCCUCUCCUCUGCCGUCGGGCCCCACGCAAGAUCUCUUCCGGCGCAACUCCUCCCGGAACGGCCCCCGCGGGACCUCCUCCGUCCUCCUCCCUCUGGCUCACCUCCUCCCGGACCGGCCCCUGCAGGACCUCCUCUGGCCUCCUCCCUCCGGCGCACCUCCUCCCUCCGGCGCACCUCCUCUGGAGCACCUCCUCCCUCGAGCACCGGCCGGGUGCCCCAGGAGCACGGCCGCUACCUCACAACGCCGUCGGGUGGCCCAGGAGUAAUGAGGGGCAAUAUUGUCAAUUUCAACCUAAGAUGUUAAAGUUUAACAGAUCAUCCAAACACCCCAAUUUGUUAAACUUUAACACUCCAUUUGAGGAUAGUAUCCAAAUAGGCCCUAACAAUACUUGUGGCAGAUGAAAAACAAGAUAAAUCUUUUGACUGCAGUAGUUUAUCUUGUUUUGGUAUUUGAAAGUACGGAAGGCAGGCUUGCCACUACAGAUCGUUUCAUACAAUUCUUGCACAUUUGCAUACUUACUCCAUCUGGUCCAAAAUGUAGGUCGUUUUGGCUUUUCUUGAUACAUAGAUAUUGCUAUGCACUUAAAUAUAGGGUUAUGUCUAGAUUAGAAAAGUCAAAACGACCUACAUUUUGAAAUAGAUGGAGUAUUUUCUUUUUAAUAUGCAUAUAUGAACACUUACUACAAGAACAUACAGCUAGCCACAUACUAACCCAAUUUGACCAUAAACAGAUUGGUGGGUCCUUGUCAUGUUGCUACUUGUGAUAGUACCAAUCUAUUGAAAUCUUUGUGCAUCUUUUCUCUAUUGAAACCUUUGUCUCAAAACUAGAUUACUACAUGGUGAGACUGUCAAUCUGUCAUCCUGGGUGGGCUGAUGUACUUCCCCCUUUAGCUCUUAAAUAUUCCAUGCACAGUUUUAAAAAGAAAACCUACAUUUGGCACCCCUUAGUAUUUAAUGUUUGCUAUUGUCCCCUAAGGAAUGAUUUUUUGGUUGUCCCUGUUAAUUACUAUUUCUAACUGUGGAAUGCAAGGUACAAUAGAAUAUACAGGUGAUGGAUCUGUUUGUAUCUUUGGGCAUCCGGCUUCGAAAACACACAGAGGAAACUGGAAGAGUUGCUCUUUAAACUUAGGCAAGUAUUGAAAUAAUCUCUCGAAUCAGCCUUUGUUUUUGAAGACCGUAGUUGGACAUGCAAUGGUCAAAUUGUGUUGAAUUUAGUUUAUAUUUUUUGAGUUUUUUAUUAAAUAGAGAUCCAAUACAAAACGAAUAUAUUAUUGCUGUCUGUUUAUUCUGCUGGUAUCUGGCCUAUUCUUCUUCAAUUGUAAAAAACCUAGUCAGCUAUCUCACAAAAGUCUUACAUGAAACAAAUGGUGUCGCUGCAAGAAAUGUUUCAACUUGGCGCGGUACCAGCUAUCUUGCACCUCUGGUUGGAGCCUUCUUAGCUGAUUCGUAUCUGGGGAAGUACUGGUAACCCUAAUCUCACAAUCUUUGUUCUUGCUAUGUGCUAAAUUUGACCUGUACUGUAAUUACUGUAAGUGGUAACAUUUAUGUCAGUACACUAUCCUCAAGAAGAGUGAACUCAGACCCUUAUCGAAAGUUUGAAACAAAUAAUUUAAGAGAUCAUAACUAUAUUUGAAGAGUAGUAAUUUUAUGUCAGUCACAUAAUAUAAUAGUAUUGUGGCAUUAAUAUAGACAAUAUAAGAGUUAGUUUGGAUUAACCAUUCCCAUGUGGGUUGGAGGGGAUUGAGGGGGAAUGAACUAAUAUUCCCCUCAAUCCCCCCGGUCCCCUCCAAUCCACAUGUGGAAUAGGACAUCCAAGAAGCCUCUGGUUUCUCGGAGUACAAUUUUCAAUCACACUUACCUGCUUGUAGCUUAGCGGUUGCACUUACCUCAGUAGCACCUCAGGUCCCGAGUUUGAAUCCCCGUGGGAGCGAAUUUCAGACUGGGUAAAAAAAAACAUCACUCGUUGGUCUCCCUAGUCGGCAUGGGUGAGACCGACAUAUGGUUGGCGGGCCCUCAUGUACUGGUCAAGACCCGAACCACAAGGGCUGAAUUAUCCAUGUAUGAGGGGUGCCAGUACCUUUCUCAACUAGGCUCCGGUUGAGCUCUUCUUGGAGAAAUAUCGUGGAGCGGUCUUUCCCCCACGGGCCAGGUUUGUUAGUAUUAGAUGUGCAUUCAACAUCCGAGAUCGAAUUUCUUACCGUGUUAUCUUCUGUUGCCCCUAUCCUGUUUAUUUAGGGAAUGGGGAUGUUGAUUCUGUCAGCAGCACUCUCUACUGGUCCCCAUAUUCUGUUUUCUUGGACAGAUAUAGUAUCAUAUCAGUUCAUCAUAGUUUGUUGGCUUGUACAUGGUUGUUAUAGGUUAUGGUGCACUGAACCCUUGUAUUACGUCCUUUGGUGCUGAUCAAUUUGAUCAUAAUAAUGAAGAGGAAAGAAACAGAAAGAGCUCUUUCUUCAGUUGGCACUAUUUUGCACUCAGUGCUGGCUCGUGUGGGUACAAGAACAUGAAGGCUGGCUCUGGGGUUUUACCAUCACGGCACUGUUUGUGGCUCUAGGUCCAAGUAUUUUUCUCUUGGGCUUUCCUGUACAUAGAUUUCAGAGAAUUGGAGCAAGCCCUAUGACAGGAGUAUCACAGGUUGUUUUUGCAGCUAUCCGCAACUUCAAUAAAGAUUUACCCCAAGCGAUUUUUCACUUCUUUAUGAGCUUCCUGAGCAAGGUUCAUCGAUUGAAGGAAGCAAGAAAUAAAAGCAUACAGCCGGACUUAAGUAACAUUCUAUUAUGAUAUUUCAUUCCAUACACUUGCAUUGACUUGAGUUUGCAUUUCCAUAUAAGUUUACUUAGAAAUUUUUAAAUAUAUAUGACCAUUUGAGAUUAUUCUAAACCUAUAUUUGAAACCAUGAAAGGAAAAGGAUUUCUUGUACUUGGUAGUACCGUAUUCUAGAGUCUACAGUCCAUGUGUUGAAACUAUAGGAAUGUAUUUGAUUCUGCUUUGAUUUGCCUGUACCAUAUGACACGGUAUGCAUUUGUUAUGCUUCUACAGUUCAAACUUAUGUCAAUACAAAGGCCACAAGAAGAUACCCAAUCAACCUAAAGGGGUGUUUGGAUAACCCCCGUUAAACUUUAGCACCUGUCACAUCGGAUGUUUGGAUAUUAAUUAGGAGUAUUAAACAUAGUCUAAUUACAAAACUAAUUGCACAGAUAGAGUCUAAUUCACGAGAUGAAUCUAUUAAGACUAUUAGUCCAUGAUUUGACAAUGUGGUGCUACAGUAACCAUUUGCUAAUGAUGGAUUAAUUAGCCUUAAUAGAUUCAUCUCGCGAAUUAGACUCCAUUUGUGCAAUUAGUUUUGUAAUUAGCUUAUGUUUAGUCUUUUUAAUUAGCAUCCGAACAUCCGAUAUGACCCUGAUAAAGUUUAGCACCUCGUAUCCAAACACCCCUUAAGUAUUUCCACAGAUUAAAAAAGAAAAUUCAUAGCGCAACCAAGUGUAUUUCUCAAUUCCAAGCAGUGAUCCUCUUUUUCCUCUUGCAGAUUUUUUGAUAAAGCUGCAGUUGUGGUAUCAUCUGAUUGUGAUUCUGUUGGCCUGCUUGAAUCAUGGAUAAUGUGUGUACUGUGAGUCAAGUGGAAGAGCAUAAGAUUCUGAUUAGAAUGCUGCCUACCUGAGCCACAAUGAUAUUCUUUUGUACAGUCCUGGAACAGAUGUCUUCGACCUUUAUAGAACAAGGUAUGGUAAUGGACAAACACAUCGGCUCUUUUGAAAUACCUGCAGCAUCCUUCCAAUCUGUGGAUAUCAGAUCUGUCCUUGUUCUCGUUCCAGUCCAUGAAAGAAUCCUUGUUCCGGCAUUUAGAAGAUUUGCUGGCAUUUCAAAUGGCAUUACGAAUCUUUAGCGGAGGGGGGGGGGGCGCUUACAGAUUGCAUAUGCCAAAGGUUAACGUUGACAUCGCUUUUUACCAGAGUCAACCAAUGAGAUAAGGUUCUGACAGCCGACGGACUUGCAGAAGAAAGUCUGUUGGUGCUCCUGUGAUGACCAAGGACAGAUGACCAGUUCUAGACGUCGAUAGAAGCCGAGGAGAAGCCGAUCCGGUGGAGAAUCAAUUUUACCAAAUAAGGGAACGUGUGAAGGUUUAUCUUUAGUAGUUUUAGAUGCGUUUGUAACGGUCCAUGUCUUAACCAACUAGGAUUUUAGUUUACUCUAGGGUAUAAAUAUAAACCCAUAAGCCUUGUAUCGAAUAAAAUCAUUAAUCAAUCAAUACAACCUUUCGGCGCCACGUCGCUAAAACCUUAGGUUUAGGAGUAGAGUCUGCACCGGCUUCGAUCUCAGGCGAGCUUGUAAGUACCGUCACCCGGUCAUUACGUUAUCUGUAUCAGAACUUUCCAGGCAUCAUCCACUAUUCUAAUCUCUUAUCGUGUGGCUAGUUAUCGAGUUGCUUCGAUUGCAAGUACAACCUUUUAGGCUUUGUCCAAAAUUCUAUUUGACUUCGAUGUUGCUCAUAAUUAUCGAGUUGUUUGGUUUGAUUAAGUUGUAUCGUAUCGAUCUCUUAGUUUUAUCAACGCUCAUAGUUAUCAAACGACUUAAAUCUGAUUAGUUCGUUCUUAUCGGCUUCCUAGUCUUGUUUAAACGUUCACCAAUUAUCGGAUCGUAUCAGCUCGUUAGAUCUUACAUGCUUUACUUGUUUUACAUAUGCUAGGUUCGAUAGAUCUUUACCCUUGCCCCUCACAUUGCUAGCCGUCGGAUCCUUAACAUCAACAUGCUACCAUUGAGAGCCGAUGCAUCGGUUGGGUAUCAUACAUAUCUCUUAGAAAUGUGACAACGUUAUGGAGCCUUUAGCUGUGCAUACGAGGCCUUGCUACCGCAAGCUAGUAUGUUACGUUGGUGGGUCGAAGUUAAUGCCCUCUCAGUCAUAAUACCUUGGUUAUCCAAUCUAUGUCUCAUGAUAUUAAUUAGAUCCGUUAGCUUAAUCGGCUUCUAAGUGGUAGGCAAGAGAUCUUUGCUACCGUGCUUUAAGCUUUUAGAUUAAUAGAUUGAAGUUAAUACCCUCCCAGUCUCGGCCGUACUGUUUUAGUUAAGUCCAAUCUACGUCUCAUGACACUAAUUAAAUCUGUUAGUUUAUCUGACAUGUGUAUAAUUAGCACGAGCUCCUUUUAUGGCUGUUGUUUUACAUUGCAUCUAUUUUAGCCCGUCAGCUCAUAUAGCCGAUGGCACAUGUCAUUAAUGUUCCUAUUUUAUUUGCACCAUAUGAUUACAUUUGAAACCUGACUGUUAUGGUGUUUAUUCAGAGUAACGCUUAUUAAUGAGCUCGAAGACUUAGCCACCUAUCGGGUCAGGAAUUUAAUGUUUCCCUUGUCAAUUUCAGAUCAAAUUGACUGGCACGUCUUGCACCUUCGUGAGUCGAUUUGGAACCUACACUGGAAUUAAGCAAAUCUUCUAGAUCCUCCGUGUUGUUCAACACAGAAGCAUGAAGUUCAGAUUUUACGUUAACAAUUAUGUGUACCGUGAGAUGAUUUUCUCUCGUACCGGUGUUCAUCGCCGGAGGGGGCAAUCGAGAGUGGAUCCCUGAUAACUUGAACGAAGCGCAUUUGAUCGGUUUUACUGGGUUAUGGCUGGGCUCAGUUUCCUAAUUCUGGUAGCCUUUAUGUUAUGUGCAAUAAGGUACAAGAACCAAAGGGCUUCCUGAAGUCCGUUAAUGUGUCAAUAUUAUAAUGGCAAACAGCAAUCUUUGGUUUGGUUUACAUGUAUGCCACACUGUCAACAUCAAAACUAAGGGGGGUGUUUGGGAGGAGGGGACUAAAUUUUAGUUCUCGUCACAUCGAAUGUUUGGACACUAAUUAGGAGUAUUAAACCUAAACUAAUUACAAAAAUAAUUACACAACCUCUACGCUAAAUCGCGAGACGAAUCUAUUAAGCCUAAUUAGUCCAUGAUUUGACAAUGUGGUGCUACAGUAACCAUUCGCUAAUGAUGGAUUGAUUAGGCUUAAUAGAUUCGUCUCGCGAUUUAGCCUAGGGGUUCUGCAAUUAAUUUUGUAAUUAGCUUAUGUUUAGUUCUCCUAAUUAGUAUCCGAACAUUGACAGGGCUAAAGUUUAGCCCCUGCUAUCCAAACGUCCCUUACACUUGUAAUUUCGGUGAUGCAUGUGAUCUUCGUCAUCCGUUUACCCUCACUUCUCAGUUAUCAUAUCUUUUGCUACAGAUGUGAGAAAUGCACUCGCGAUUCGUCCUCUCUUCCAAUUUCAGUAUACCACUCGCAAUCGGAAUAGGUGCUUUGCAUUUUCUAGGUAUUACCCCGAUGGUUUAAUAUUUUCCAUGAGUCUGUUUGAGCUGACUAGUUAUAGCUCUUCUUUAUAGGAAGUUUGUGCUAACAAGAGUAACAACCAAAAAGACUCGGGCCUACUAACGACAGAGGAAUUUUUUUAUUUUUAUAUUUAAUUUUUACGAUUUUGCAAAAAUAAUGUUGGAUAAAAAUUGCAGAUAUAGACUUAUACAGCCGGUAGACGUUUCAAACGGCAGUCACUAACCCAAAAAAUAAUUAAAAUUGUUAACGCCAUUUGAACCGACGGUAGCUUACAUGUCACGUGAUGUGGCAGGGGGCCCAGAGCUUACCGCCUGAUGAAACGGCUAUAGCAGUUUGAAACGGCGGUAAGUGCCCAUCCCCUUCUUCACCGCCACGCCGCCGCCGGCACCCCUUCUUCACCGGCCAUGCCGCCAGUGUCGACAGUUUGGAGGCUAGCUGUCGGCGUAGCCAUUUCAAACGGCUAUAACUUCGUGUAAUUUUUUUAUUUCAUGAUAUUUUUCCUUAGUUAUAAAAAUAUAUAAAGUUAGAUUGGAAACACUAAAUAUUCGAAUAUAUCAUUAUUGGUUUGAAUAUGAAAUUACAAAUUUUAGAGAGAGAGCGCUUCGAGAAAAUAUUGGAAAUUGAACUACUUCCGGGCCAUGGAAUAUAUAGUUGUUUCCAGCGAAAUUACAACACAUGAAAAUAAAAUUCGUGCAAAACAUACGAACAUCGAUAACUCUAAACUAAACAAUAGAUUGCAGCGGCAUGUGCGGCACGGAUGGCUAUCCUAAACAUGUGCCGUUGCUAAACCAAACACGCCUUAGGUAAUUGAAAUAGUCGGGGAUAGAGCCAUCUCUACUUAUAGUAGAACUGGCUUUGCGAGAGCUGGGAGGGCCCAGCCUCAUAGUAUCCAGCACUCCGAGAGAAAUGCAGUGACAGUGGGUGAUCCUUGUUGUGGUGUAGGGAUACUCGCACCAUGGAUCGGUACAAAUCGGGUCACGUGCAAUGUUAACCGCCCAAGGAUUUGCAUAAACUUCAGCUUGAAGAUCUUUCACCCUAUGCUCGAGGUCAAAGAUCUUGCACUUGAAGUAGUGGAUGUACUCUUAGGUUGGCUCAGGAAGUGAAGGAUCGACCCACUUCGCAUACCGGCAGUUUCCUUCAUCGAGAUAAGACUGAUCAUGAUGUUAGUUUGUAGCAUGAAAAGUUUAGCAAGAGUAAGGAAGUAAUAACCUGACUCACCAAGCCAUACGGGCAUCGAAAGAAACGCCGGCUUCCAUCACCGUAGUCAUCAAACAGCUGCAUGAUGCAAGUCACGCCAUGGUGACACAUUGGCCACGCAUCACGACAGUCGUCAUAAGACCUAAGGCAGUUUGGAGGGACGGAGUUAGCCCUAUCAUAUAGAAGGAAGUCGUCGAGGGGUUCCUCAUACUCGGUUGGGCCAAAAGAACCUAGCUAAGUGAUGGUGGGAAUAAGAGCAUCCCCUCCUCUUUCCCUCCUGCCACGACCUCUCCCUCUUGUGGAUGCCAUUGUUCUUCCUCCUGCUCAGUGGUAUGGAAAGAUACGGGAGAGUGAGGUCCAUAUAAGGAGUGUUGAGAUGGACAUGCACUAUGCCCCCAUUUGUUUAGUACCCCAUCGUGUUCAAUCAUCCUGAAAAAGCUUAGAUAUAAGCUUUGCAGGAGCAGGGAUGCAGGGCUCAGUAUGGAGUCCCAUCUUCCUAAAAAAGCUCCUUUAGGAUCCUUACAGUCUAUUGUGUAGGCUUUUCAGUGACGGUUCAUGUCAAUAGUGGAUUAGCAUUAUUUGAGUACUGUACUAGCAGCAGAACAGCAUAAUAGCAAUAGGGUGGAAUUUGAGUACUUGAAGCAUCGAGACGAAAUGUUAUCACAGUACAAACAAUAGUACAAUGGCAUGUGAGGCGCCCAACAUGACAAACCUAAAGAGCACCUUGCCUAGGAUAAAAUGCCUAAGGUAAUAUAAAUUGGUGGAUCACAACUAAUAUUUUACUGGGUGAACCGGGGAAGUUUCCCUAUCCUCACUUUUUUGGAGGAACAUUCUCCAUCCUGCUUCUUCAUGUUCUUCUGUCGCUCUUCUUCCUAGAGGAGUUGCGCCUGAUGAACUUCGAAUUCUUCCUCCUACCGUUUCAGUGUUGCCUCUCGAGCACCUAACUGCUCGCGCCACCUCUGCAGUUCAUCCUCCUUGUCCUUCAAACAGAUUUGUUGUUGGUAGAUGUGUCGCUCUUGCUCAAGCCGAGCAAGACAUGCCGCCUCUCGAGCCUCUGUAUGCCUAGCAUAGUACUGUCCUUUGGUCUCUAGCUCCACUGGGAUUAUGCGCACCUCCCCUACAGGCCUAGUGUCAAUCCAUUCCAUAAAUGUGCAAGUCUGCAUGUUGAUUCAUGAUUAGUUCUAGGUACCGGUACAAAGAAAAUAUAUUUAAAAUAUUUAUGAAUAGACAGAUCUUAAAAUUAUCGUCAAUGUCGGAACACUUGAAGUAUCUACACCCCUUCUUUCCCUGAGGUAAUCGAUCCUCCCAUACUUGCGACCACGCACGGAAGCCGCAGUGGCAUUUGGGGUGCUCAUUCCAUAGUGGAAUCCCAUUUUAGUCACCCUCCACGACGCCAUUUUUUAGAGGGACAAACAACCUCACUACAAGCGUUGCAUUCGGGUUCGACAAUGGUAGUAGUGCGUCUAAACAUUGCCUGGAUGUCUGUUAUAUAGAACGCUAGUGACAUGGUCCGUCCAUCAUGGUAAAGGAAAAGAACAUGCAUGGACAUUAUAGUUUGCACCGGCCUACCUACCAAAGUCUCUGCACUAGCCUACAUAACAUAGUCUGCAAAUGAGCACACAUUAUAGUCUACAGCAUCGUACACACCAUAGCCUGCACCGGCCUGCAAAAGAUAAAGAAGGCCCUAUGGACUAAAUGUGUCCUUGCUUGUGACGCACAGCACCAGAACCACGUCUCGCGACCCGUUGCGCUGCUCUGGUCUGCAGCUGGUCGUACGUAAAGGGCUCCGGAGGGGCAACCUCGCGACCCGGACGUCCUCUACAACUGGUGUCGCAAACUCCUGGGUGGAGCCCUGUGUCGGAGGCACUGGCGCUUCACCCAACUGCGAAGGACCUAUCUCCUCAGUGUUGUAGCUGAAAAAGGACUUCACCCAGUUUGUACUCAUCCUCUGCAUAUCAUCUUCUACGGACUCGUCAUUGGUCCCUCCGUAUCCUAUGUACGUUGUGAUCGAACCAAGAAGUGUUAUUGUCAAUUUUGAUCCGUAUUAGUAAUGGAAUAGAAUGCAUGUAUUGAUGACGCACCUACAUUGUCCACACAGAGUCCACAUGAAGAUGGUCCUCUUGCACUAAGUCUUCCGAAGUGUUGCGGCAUUGUGUCAUGAAAUUAUAAGUUAGUACGACCAAUUAGAGUAGAAUUGGUGAAUGGAAAAUGAGAAAGUAAGGACCACAUACUUGUGGGGGUGUGAAAGACUAUGGACCCGAUGCAUAAGUGGAAGGACCUGGUUGAGCUGCUGCCCAAGACAGUGCACGUGGAGGAGUACACGCCCCGGGGGAGGUUGCAUGUGCUUGUACUGCAGAAGAUGAUGCGUGGUACGCUGAUCGUGUGGGUGCAGCAGAAGAGGAACUGGGGUGCUGCGUAGGUGGUGUUGAAGAUGAACUGGUGUAGGUAGCCCGUGGUGGAAGUAGAAUGUUGGCGUCACCACCACGGUAGCUGACAGCCCGCUGAAACCUAGCACACACGGUCAUGAUCCUCCUGUAUAUCGACUCGUGCUCGUGCGGGUUCAUGUGCAUGUAAUUCUCCAUGUCGGUCCACGCUGUCGCCUCAACUGCUGCAAUAACAUCGUACUGAUGACAAUUACAUAGUUCAAGUUGGGCACAAAAUAAUCCUACAAAGUGCAACAUAACCCAAUAUAGUAUGAGUAGCAAAUGAUGGAGAAGCGUACCGCGAUGUCGGAGUAGCUUCCUGGAUUCCUCUAGCAUAUGGUGUGCAACAAAGCAGGGAGGUUAUCAUAUGAUGCUUCUUAUUUACCCCACUUCAUCUCUAACGCCUUCUGCUUGGCUCGGUAAGCGUUACUGUAGCUAAUUUUGUACUUGAACUUCUCCUCUAUGGCACAAAUAGUUGACUUGGGCUCAUAGCUAGGAUUCUCGACUAUCUGAGGAUACAUGUAUUGAGCAACAAAAUCAGCUGUGAGGUUGCGGUAUUGUGCUUCCAAUUCAUCCAGCACGCAUUCGUGCUCCACCUAUCUAGUCACCUCCCAAUAAUCCUUCCACUUGACACACGUCAUAUAUUGUCGGGCUGCUCUUCACCACCUUGAACUGUCGUUGCAAAUAUAAAGUCGAUCAUCGCUUUAUAGCUGCCUUCACCUCAUCCCCACUAGGGUACAAAGCACCGACACAAACCUCAUUUUGCCUGUACUCCCAAAGGAUAUUUUCCCCUUCAUUGACUGUUAGGUUCGAAUGGCCAUAACUUGACCAGUUCUACGGGAUAGGAUUAGCAUCAUUCUCAUCCAACGAGUCAUCAUCCAUGGCACGAAGGUGCUCUUCUCCUUCCCUCUCUACCUGCUCAACUAACCUAGGGAUGUGUUCCCCCUCAUCGGCCUCGCCAUUUGGCUCACAGGGUGCCUCUUCGUCCUCUGCAUCUCCUUCUUCUACCCCUUGUUAUCUUCUUCAGUUUGCCAAUCGGUAAUAUCUAGACCUUCCUCGCCUCUAACUUCCCCACCACCAACUUAUUCUUGCAACUGACUGCUAGACCCAAUCUUUUGGAACACUUCAACAAACAAUAUCAACGGUAAAACCACGCUCAAUAAUAGCAUUUUACAUAGACCCUCCAGUUCUGGGUUCCUUCAAGCGGCAUCAACUCCCAAAAUAUUAUGUCAGUUCGAAACCUCACUACAGUUCUAACAGAUAGCUCAACUUGAUCUCUAUCAAGCUUGAAAGUCUUAAAUAGUCAGUUGCAUAUUGAUGCCCAAGUCCUCUCUCUUGCUCUUGGUACUUAUUUCCAGAACGACUUAAAUUCAGAUAAAUCUACCCCUUUUGAACCAUAUCUAAGCUCCUUGGGACUAUAGAACACUUGAAAAAAUAAACUAUCCGACAUGCCUGUCAAUAUACACGACAUGAACAGAUAUUAUUACUAAAUGUUAUUAAUUUUAACUAACUCGAACAACACCUACGUUUAGAAAACUAUAUAAAAUUAUAACUCAUGCAUUGCUAAUAAUAUUAAUUUUAGAGUUAUCUAAUAUAUCAACAAAUUAAUUUUACCUUACCCUGUCAAUAUACACAACGUCAAGAAAGAUCAUUACUAAAUGUUACUAAAUUUAACUAACCCUAAUCACACCUACAUUCCGAAAAACUAUAUAAAGUUAUACACGACACUAACAAACAUUAUUACUAAAUGUUAUUAUUACUAAAUGUUAUUAAUUCAACUAACCCCAAAACACCUACAUUGUUAAUAACUAUAUAAAAUUAUAACUUGUGCGUUGCUAAUAAUAUUAAUUUUAAAGUUAUCUAAAUAUAUAAACAAAUUAAUUUUACUUUACCCUGUCAAUAUACACGACAUCAAGAGAGAUCAUUACUAAAUAUUAAUAAAUUUAACUAACCCUAAUCACACCUGUAUUUCGAAAAACUAUAUAAAGUUAUACAUGACAUGAACAGACAUUAUUACUAAUUGUUAUUAAUUUGAACUAACCUCAAAAAUACCUACAUUCUGAAUAACUAUAUAAAAUUAUAACUCGUGCAUUGCCAAUAAUAUUAAGCUUAAAGUUAUCUAAAUAAAUCAACAAACUAAAUUUACUUUAACCAAAAUAACUAAGCUAAAUCCACUAUACCGGCAAACUAAUAUUUAUCUAUAUCUCAUAUGUACACCUAGAUUUGAUCUAAUACUUAACACUACACCAUUUAUAAAUCAUAUCGACUACUACAUCUAUUAACUAUGAGUUAAGAUAAACUGCGAGAUUUCAAAUAAUAGCUGAAGUGAAGUGCAGAUCCGGCAAAGCUUCGCUUCAAUCUCCACCCUCCUCCUCUCCCUCUCUUCCCCCCUCCUCUCCUCUCCUCUCCUCCCUCGCUUUCUCUUCUCUUCUCCCCAAAUGAACCAGCGCACUUCUGGCCCGACCUCGGCCGUUCUUCGCGUUUUAAAGGGUGGGGUAGCCUACCGCCGACUGAUUCGGUGGGAUCUUCCCGCUCCUGCCGUUUGAAUCGGCGGAAGGCUGUUACCGUCGCUUCAUCCGGCGGUAACCAGCUACCGCCGUUUCAUCCAGCGGUAAGUCUGUGGGUCCCUCGAUCGCCAGGACUCCGUAUGCUGCCUGCCGUUUCAGACGCCGGCAAGCGGUUCGCCCCGCUGCCUCCUGACUUGGCACCACGGUGUCGCAGGGUUGCUGACGUGGCGUCCCGUUUCCGAUUUUUUUAUUCGUUGCACAGGUACCGCCGGCUGAAACGGCAGUCUUACCGCCGGUUGAAAUGGCGGUACAUCCCGCGGCAUACGUCUAUAUUUGCUUUUUUUCCUCUGCUAUUUAUUUCUGCAAAAUUAAAAAAUAUAUAUAAAAAUAAAAAACAUCAACGAUAGAGACACAGAGUUAAGCGUUGGGCCGAGGCUUUUCAAUCCUUCAAUUUUGUAGCCAGAUGGGCCUACUACUUUGCCUAGCCCAUCUCAUUGUCGUUGUCGUCGGUUGGACUUUGGUGAUGACAUAAUAGCCCAUGACGUCCUCGGUGGCGGCACAGCCGCUGCUAGUGCCGGCAACGCGCGUCGGCCUCCGUUCCCAGACGACACGAGGGCGCGCGCAUCGACUCGUGUCGUCCGUCGUGGAACCCGGAAACGUGCAUGUGCGUGGAUCGAAGCGCACCGGGCGGAGCGGGGAGGAGGAGGGAUGACGGGUGACGACAGGCAUCGCAACCGUGUGCUCGGCGGCAGCAGGUGCUAGCACUAGCCCGAGCACUAGCACUAGGCACUAGCACGCCUCCCCCAGCACCGGUGGCCGCGCCGAGACGGCAAGGGCACCGCCGCUGCCGCAGCGGGACGCCGCGCUCGAGGAGAACAGAACCAAACCGUACAGGCUGCGCCGCAACCGCCGUGCCGCGGAAGGGAAUCCGUCAGCCGGCCCGGCCGCGGAAGCAGGCGCGCGCGCACACGGUCUCCCACGCGCGGUUUGAACCCAUCUUCGCCCGCCUCGGAGCCCGCGACCUGACGAGAGAGGUGGCAGGUUGGUGGAUAGACCUUGUUUGUUUAGUCCUCUUUUUUCCAACUUUAAUAUUACACAUCAAACUUGUAGUAUGUGCAUGAAGUAUUAAAUGUAGACGAAAUUAAAAAUUAAUUGUACAGUUUUAUUGUACUUUGCGAGACGAAUCUUUUGAGUCUAAUUAGUCAAUAUUUGAACAAUAAUUCAUAAAUACAAAUGAAAUACUACAAUUGCGCAUUUAUGGCAAAAUGCAAAUUUUGUUACUCCCAAUUUGAGACUAAACAACAAGGCCUUAGGCUCGUUUGGAUCGUUUAGAUUAGGAAUAGUGAUUAUAAUAAUCUGAAUUUUACAUAAUAAUAAUUUAAUAUAUUUGAAUUCUAAGAUUAUGAUAUGUGUGGAUAGGGGAUGGGGUUUGGAGUUGUCGUAUAAUUGUAAUUCCAAUUUAUAAUCUCCAAAUAACUAAAAAUAAAUCUCAACGCGUCUUAAAUUUAUUGUAGAGCUUAAAAAAAAAGAGAAAGACUUCCAAAUACAUGCGGAUCCUUUUUAAUGACCUGCCGAUAACAAGAAACCCACUUCAACUAAAUCCUCAAUCAUCCAAUCAUGUCAACUCGGGAAUAAAUGAGCAAUUGUUCAAAUACUCCCUCCGUGUAGGAAAAGGAAGUCGUUUUGGACAGCGACACGAUCUCCAAAGCAUUACUUUGACUUCUUAUUUUUAUAAAAACAUUUAUCCAGAAGUGAUAUAUGUAUAUUUUUAUGAAAGUAUUUUUCAAGACAAAUCUAUUUAUAUGGCUUUCACAUUUCCAAACUCAACAACUUAAAAAUUAUUCAUGAUUUAUAUUCCCAAUGUUUGAUCUAAACCUUGUCCAAAACGACUUCAUUUUCCUAUACGGAGGGAGUAUGUCUAGAGAGUAUUAUAUUUGAUGAUAAAUUUUGAAUAGUUAGACAUAUUAUAUCUCACGACAAAAGGGAGUGAUUGACUUAGAUCCCCACUAUUUUUUUUAUUUAAGUUUUGAUACAACUUAAAUAUGAAUAAGUCGAUUUUAUUAAAUUACUCCGAAACAUUCAGAAGUAUCUUUGGAAGUUAUCCAUGGCCAACAGCAAAGGUACUGCUGUCACUCGUACAUAAAUCAUUGAAAAGUUACAAUCUACUCCCUCUUGCUACAGUUACAAAUGUACGUCCGUUUCCAAAAUAACAAUUUGACUUCCAGUUUUUUUAUAAAAGAAUAUGAUUUUCGGAAUGUAAGUCCAUGACCAGCACCAAAUGCCAAGGCCCCCCUAAGCCAUGUAAAUUUCCAGUAAAAAUUUUAAAUUUUGAUACUUUAACACUACUGCCCCAUAACAAAGUAAAAUUCGAAAUUCUAACUCCACCUUUGGUUACUUGUUGGGAUCAAGUAAAAAGAAGUUUAACCGGCUAAAAUCCUAAAAUUACCUACAUUUGGAGUCGGCCUAGAGACCAAAAGUGACAUACGGCAGAUUAUUUUCCUAUUAAUAUGACAAUCCGUGGAUCAAAAUAGAAACAUGAGUACAAGCAAAGCAAGUUGCAGACCGAAAUGAGAAGAAAAGAAGCGCACCAACCCUUUAGUUGUAUUGUACUGUACUGUACAGUAUAAGCACAUAGCAGUAGAAGUAUACCCUGCGUUCGAGCGCGUCCGAUCGCUUUCGAUCGACGACGACCAGCUCACUGAUCGAAGACCACCGCCGCGCGACAAGGGUGCGUGCGGGUCACUCCGUGGAUAUACCCUACAGUUGCAUAAUGCGUCAUGGUGUUUAGCUGUUACUACUGUUACUCGCGUACGUAUGCGACUGUGGUCUGUGGAUGGCCGCCCACUGUUCCGGGUCGCCAUGGUGACACCGGCUCCACAAUCCGGGCGCCCAGCACAUGCCUCGGUGAAUCAGUGAGUCCCCCAUGCUGCAUGCAUGCAUGAACGACGAUGAUCCAUCGAUCAGCAGUUCAUCACUCGGAGCGGAGGUCGGCGCAAGUGUGCCGUACCACCGCGUACGCGCGCCGAAGAGGCAACGCAAUCGACUCCCUGACGCGAGUGCGCGCUUCUACCGCGCUGCCGGCAGACGGCACCGUGGAACACCAAUCUGUCCAAAAGAGCAUCAGCUGUUUCCUCAACGAAAGGGGGAGAUCAGCCCGCUACAAAAUUGGUGUUCCAGUCGAGGGACCAGGCUAGCCGAUGGCGCCGAACUCAAACUCCGUAGGGCGGGGAGAGUAGGUGACGUUUGAUGCCCAACAGCCCAAAGCUUGUUAGAAAAACAAAAACAAAAGGUGCGCAUUGUUGACACUUGACAGGACCAAGAUCGGGGGGGAAAAAACAGGACGAAAUCAGAUCGCAUCACGCUUUGACAAAGCUUUUGCUGACGAGAGAUAGAAACGCACGAAUACUGUAUCACCUAACCUAUCACUAACCUAGAUGGACACGAACGGAUAUCUGUACGUGCGCUGGCGCGGCGCGCUGGGAUCGCGGAACAGAUCUCGGGUCACAGAUUGCAGCAGCACCAAGUGGUGUUAGCGAUCGGAACAAGACGAGGCUCCUCUCCGCAGGAUCACCCCCAAUCUUAAACCCACAUGCAGGUCAGGUGCCCCCGCGCGAUCCGCAUCCGCGCCACGGCCACGGGUGGCGACUGGCGAAUCCGGAGGGGGACAGGCGAGCCCAAGGGACAACCGGGGGCCGCCGCACAUGCCGGCACAUGCGCACGCACAGAACUAGCCGCGGCACGGCUGCCGGGCCGAGCUGCCGAGCCAAGCACCGCCUCCUCCUUGCUCACGAACACGUCUCGUCUCACUUCUUCAGUCCUGUCCUCCUCAUGCGGUCCUGCCCUGUGCCCUACCACGCUGCGCGCGUACGUGUACGCAGUCGCAUGGGCUCCGCUGCGCUCGCACGCGCGCCCCGGCCCGGCCCGGGAGAGCAGAACAGAGGACAGGAGUGAGGAGCCGGAGGCCGGAGCCCCCAGCGGCAGCGGCCGCCUUGCUCAGCGGCGUGCCUGGCAGGCAAAGGCGCAAAGCCGUGGGUGGGUGCGGUGCGGGGGCGCCGGGCGACACGCGGGGUCCCGGGAUGUGAUCGCCGGGCCCCGGCGCGCGUGGCGCCUAGCGCCCGACUUGUCCCGCUCACAGCGCGCCUGCUUGUCCUGAGCCCCUGAGCGCGGGCACCCGCAUAUGGCCCGCCGGGGCGGUGGGGGCGCGCUGCUAUUUGCUCGGCAGCCACAGCCCACAGCAGAGGCGCAGAGCUACUCCUACUAGUGCAGUGGGAUGCAGAUGCUACAACAAGGAUUAGCCCCGGGCCGCGGCCACCGCUGCACUAAUGACCCCGAUUUGGUCGCGGCGUCGGGUUUGACCGGGGGUGUUUUGCGCCGAGGGCCCUGUGUUUUAGCGGAUUGUUUUCCCGCGCCGGGGGGUAGGUACCUGCACUACUAGUCUAGUAGCAAGUGUUGUUUUGUGGAUUGUAUUCUUUGUGGAUUCGUGCGCGGCCUUGGCGUCCGCGCCCUGCUUUAAUUUUGUCGUGUCUCGCCACCUGUCCGGACCUGUUCAUUGGGUAACGAUUGCCGGCUGUGUGCAUGUGCAGGGGGGAUUCAGAGGGCUUUACAGGCUUUAAUAAGUUUACUGCGAUGCGAUGAGCCUACGACACUCUAACAGUGCGAGGGGCUUUGACAGGAAAGACUUUGGAACGACCCCUCGACUUUUCAAAAGCGACCUUUGCGCAAAAUUUGCCUGCUGAUUACGAGCCGUCAUCGGCACCCUUGCAAGCCAAGCCAGAGCUUGAGCCAGCUCCAUCAAAUCAAAUCCACAGCUUGAAGGGAAUGCAUCGUGCUCACAAGUUAAACAGCAGGCCAUGACACAAGAACGCCAAACAGACCAAAACAGAUGCAUCAGCAAUGGUUUCAGAUUUUUGUUUUUGGAGCUGGAGAGACGGUUUCAAAUUUUGAAACGGGUCAAGAACUGUACCAUGCCAUGACACAAUGACGCCAUGCAUGUGUGCAGGCGCAGGCAGGGAGGGCCCCGCGAGAAACCGGUACGUGCCGGGGGUGCAGACGCAGCGGACCACCAGGGGCAGAGCAGACCAGGGCUACGGCGCGUACCGUGCGGUUGAUGGGCUUGAUAAAAGCUGGGGGCACACUGCGCAGGCCACAUGGGCGUGACUCGGCCCUGCCACCGUGGGGACGCCCCCCACCUUUUUCACCCGGCCGCCCGGGUGUACGCGUACGUGCUGAGUGAGAUGUGGCCGCGCGCGUGAAACAUACGGACACGGGAGACACUGGUCAACUCCAGUGCGCGUGUGUACUGCGGUGCCGGUACAGGACGCCGGGGUCGUGCGUGACAGCAGCCACGACCAGGUACUCACUCCAUCAAUGGAUUGAGACACAGAUCUUUAGUCGCGGUAAUUUAGCAUGAAAUGUCCGCGGUAACGAAUCCACACGAUGUUUUGCGGGAGAGACACAGAUCGUCUAUGUGAGCGUAGUGGGGCUCGUGAGAGUCAGUGACAUGUGAGCUCUGUGCUACGCUUGCUGCUUCACGGCAGGAGGCCCCCGACCUGGCUUUCGUCGGAAGCGCUACGAAACAUUUGGCAAAGCCGAAACUUUCCUGUAGCGAACGGGACCAACACAUUGGCGGGCGGAAAUGGCUAACGAAACCAGCAGAAAAUCGGGACGGAUCACAAAAUCUAACGCCUUUUCUAAGGUUUGGCGUGAACAGACAUUUGCUUUGGGUGGUUGGGGCUUGGGAGCAUAUAUAUAAAUCCUACAAGUCAGUAGUAGUUCACUACUGCAUUGUUAGCGGGAUCAUUAGUUGCGAGAUAACCAUCUUUGGACAAACAACACUGUCCCAGAUGCAAAGUUCAGGGUCGCAGUCAAGGUUAUCAAAAUGGCAACCCAGAUAGUGGCGUUACGAUCACAAGUUCACAACUCAUAACACUUGUGAUAAUAAGAAUUACGAGUCUUAUCGCCGUAGAAACAGCUGAGGUCGAUGGAGAUCCUGAGAUCCAUCUCGGUAUCUCACAACACCAGCAACAUCAGAACACAGUUGAUAGUCCCUAUUGAUGGAGACCCAGAAAAAAGGAGGCAGCAAAGCACAUACAAAUUUCCUUUCUCACUUUACUUUGAUUCUUUCUGUAGAGGUGUCAACUACACUGGGAUCCACUCAACUAGAUGAUAACAAAAGCAAAAUAAUCACAUAUUUUGUGGCCCCCUGCCUCUGCUAAUCAGGGGAUGGUACUAAAGUCUCUUAAGAGACAUUAACAGAGCAGCUACUGAAGAUGAUAAACAUAUGAGAUCUCACACAGCUCUUGUAAUAUACAUUAAGCCCAUAGGAAUGGCUUGGGAUCUUGCAGUUAAAAUACCUCACAGACCACUGCCAUGGCCAUGUGCUCCUUCUCCAGUCCCUGGCCCGGCCCCUGUAUACAAUAUCUGCAGCUUGCAGCAGGCUGUAGCUGUACUGGUGUUACAUGUGACCUGUGUGCUGUGGCUGGUACCAGCAUUGUGGAUUAACCUCACAUUUAGUAAACCUAGUGGAG